AAAGAUUCGAUAUGACGGGGAAUCUGAAAAAUUUUGCAAAAUUUUCUGGGAACUAAACAAGACCCUUGUCUUGCGGUGCAUGCCACGAACGAAAUGACCAUUUCACACCAAAAACGCGCAUGGUCGGUUUGGAAUUGGAAGGCAUGACACAAACACCGUAGACGCGGACACAUGCAAAAAAACGCUGUCAUCGACGACGACUGUGUGAGAACUCGGAAUCGGCAUUUUUCAGUCCGAAGUGAUCAACUCUCAAAGUCUCGAGCCAUUUUCAUUUUGCAACCGAAACUAGUUGUACUAGAAUUGUACUAAAGAUUGUUUAGACUUGAGGGACGACAGCUGGUGCAUCGAUCGCCAUGACAUCGACAGGAGGAGACGGUAUUAGAACUUCAGAACGACUCUAGUGUUUAUUCAAUGUGUCUUCUUUUUCAAUCACUUUUGUGAGUUGAGUUACUAGUAUGAUGAUAAAGUAGACAUGUUGUUUUCAAAUCUUUUCUUGGGGGAUUCCGUAUGGGGCCUUGGAUAUUUCACCCAUUCAAAAAUAAAACAACAUGAUUUGCUUACAAAGGGAUAUCGCUCCAACAGUGCCGUGACAUGAUGAAAUAUGUCACCAGCACCAACCACGCCCCACCGUUUUUUUAGCAUUUUCUCCAACAUUUUCUGCUCACCACUACGAGACAAUAUACCAUCCGAAUAAAAUAAAAAAUAAGUUGUCUAACACAAUACUAUGGAUCAAAGUGUCACAUGUCAUUGUCCAAAGAAAAAAAAAAGAACAUGCCACAAACAAGCUAAUAUUGAACUUAUUAGGCGCUGAACAUUGCAGUUUCAUCUGUUCAAGGGCGAAUAGUGUGUCUCCAGCAAACUUUAUUAAGGUUACGGGUCGCUUUAAAACAAAGGACUUUUAGACACAAGAAUAUGAAGAAACAUAUAAUUGCAUGAAACUUAAAAAAAAUAUGAAUUUUUAGCCAAUUUUUUUUAGGAAUUCUUUUUAGGCACAAAUUGAAUUAUCUAGUAUGUAGUAUGGGAGCUGCUAUUGUCACAUGCCGGAUUUUUUAGGAAUUUUCAAGCAACAAUUUUACACGAUCAACUAGUAGAAUAAUUAAAAUAGUAACUCACAAGAGAUAAUUCAUAUUUUUUAUAAUUGCAUGUUGCCAUUCAUAACAAAAAGAAUCAGACACCUACAAUAUAGGAGAAGUGUAGAAAUAUAGACAUAAUGGAAAGUUUUUAUGCGUCUAACCUCGUGUUAGUUUUCCUCCAAAUUUUCUAUGGUAUUAUAAUAUCCCAUAGAAAUUCAAAGAAAGAAUUUGAUUAAUCCUUAUUUUUCUAAGAUUAAAACCCUCUAAAAAAACUCAUAUGUUUUUCCUUUGUUUUAAUAAACUGGCCUAAAUGCAGAAAGUUCCAAAUUUCCUCUCGUCGUUGAGAAAAGACAGAGAAGUUAAUCGUGUGUGUCAGUAUAUGGCAGUAAAUCACAAAUUGCCCGACAGUUUUCGCACUAGCCAUCGCUAACGCAAAGCAUCUACUCCUAUCUCCAUAUUAGAUAAUAAAUAUAUCCUUUCAAAAAAAGAUAAUAAAUAUAAAACGGGUGCUUAUAUAUAUACAAGGAAAAUGCAAAGGCACCAGCGCAUCAGCAUCACCACCACCCUCUCCUCAUCAACCGAGCCAGCGGCCACGGCCAGCCACGCCUCCUGCCUUCCACCCGUGUCCUCCCUGCAAACUGCAUGCGCGAAGCAGGUGAGACUUGACAGGAGCAGCCAGCCACGCCCCGCCCCACGCCACGCUCCCCAUGACGCCCUUUUAAGAGGAGGACGAGGAGGCGGUGGACCAGUUCGUUCGCGUUGCCCGCGACUCUCUCCGUCCUCCUACUGCCACCCGACUCGUCUCACACGCUUGGCGCGCGCGUGCUUCCACCCGUCCGUCGCUUCGAUUGGUUUGGUUGCCCCGGGCUCCAGCAAUGGCGGUGCAGGCGCAUUAUCACCACCACCACCACCACCACCACCGCGAGUCCCCUUUCCUCGUCAGGUACCUGCCGUCGUCGCCGCUGUACAUCUUCUAAUUGUUUCUUCCGCGUUGAUCGUCGGUCUGCUGGAUCGGAUUUGGGUGGGUGAUUUGAGCGUCUGGGUUGUCAGCAGCGGCGGCGGCACGCCGGAGAGCAGCCGGUUGGUGGCGGCGAUGGAGCUGCAUCAGGCGCAGAAGGAGGCGAUGGCGCCGCAGCAGGCUCCGCCCCUCUUCUUGGACUUCUCGCAUGGAGGUAACCAGAUCAAACAAAGCGCCCGCCUUGGCUCCGUAGAUUUCGUCUUCUUGGGUACCCUUCUGUUCUGCUUUUGGAUUUAUUAUUUGUUGGGAUGUUGCGUGCACGUAGAUUGCGGCGGCGGGAGGAAGCGGCAGCGCGAGGCGGAGUCCGUGUCGCCGCAGUUCUUCUCGCUGCAGCAGCAACCGGAGGCGCAGGCGCCCAAGUUGAUCAACCUGGCGCAACUGCACAAGCGGCCGGCGAUGGGCCUCCGGCUCGACUUCGACGAGGGCUCGGAGCACGUGUCGUGCACGUCCUCGGCCUCGGCGUCGUGUCUCCUCUCCGAAGAGCUCGCCGCGCAGCGCGAUCAGCACAAGAACGAGAUGGACCGGCUGAUCCAGGAACAUGUAAGGACCGCCCGCUUGAUCGAUUGCGUCGUUGCCGCCGCCGAUAUCGACCGGCCUCUGUUGCUGAUGGGCUCCUUCCUUGUCGCUUUGCAGGCGGAGAGGCUCCGGCGCGCGCUGGCCGACACCCGGCGGCGGCACUACCGUUCGCUGGUCGGCGCGGCGGAGGCGGCGGCUGCUCAGCGGAUAAGGGAGAAGGAGGCGGAGGCCUUGGAGGCCGCGCGGCGCGGCGCCGACCUGGAGGACCGCGUCGCGCGGCUGAGGGCGGAGGCGGAGGCGUGGCAGGCCAAGGCGCUCGCGGACCAGUCCACGGCCGCGGCGCUCCACGCGCAGCUGCAGCAGGCGUCUGCCGCGGCGCAGGCGAGGGGCAAGGCCGCCGAGGAAGAGGAGGACAACGCGGGGGGCGCCGCGGCGGACGACGCCGGGUCCUGCUUCGUCGACCCGGACAGGGUGGUGGAGAUCGCCCCGCCGCGCCCGCCGCCGGCCAGGCCGUGCCGGACGUGCAGGCAGCGCUCGGCCUCCGUCGUCCUGCUCCCGUGCCGCCACCUAUGCGUCUGCGCCGAGUGCGAACCCGCUGUCCCCGCCGCCGCCCCCUUCGCUGCCGGCGCCGGCGCCGUCGCGGCUGCCUGCCCCAUGUGCCGUGGCGCGGUCACCGGCACGGUGCAAGUGUUCUUCUCGUAGCAAGCAUUAGGAAAAAUGGGAAAAAGGUAAAAAAAAAAUCAAAAAACAAAACUGGUGCUCCUGCCGAAAGGAAUGGCCGGUGAAAAUGGGGAUUGAACGAUGGCAAAUUAUGUAGAGGGAAUCACAUCUUUCUCUGUUUUUUUAGUCAUUUGUUCAUUAUAAUCCUUCAAUUAGAGUACUACUAGUCAUUCUCCUGCUAUUGUAUUCUAGUAGUAGUUAUCUAGUACCAGUAGCAGGAUUAGGAUCCUGCUGUCUUUUGCCUUGUUCUUGUGGACUUCUGGAAGGCAAGCAAUAUGAUCGACCAUGGACCCAGUACUACGUACAUUUUGGUAGGCAAUGAUGUGCAAAUUUUCACUUUUUUACCGCCUGAUUAAUGACUUGUGCAGUACACAUCCGCGAGAAGGAUGAAGGUUUGCGUGGUCUCUGCCCUGGCCCUGCAGUUGCUGGUACCCUCCUACUCCACAGUGCAAAUGCGCCUUGGGGGCGAUGCGUUUAAAGGCGAGGCGCGGAUUCGCGUGAUGCGUAGUAGUGGUAGUGGCGGGAGACGCGGCCGGUCACGUGACGAUCGCCAGUCGCACUCGCCAAUCGUACUACGUGCCGCGCCGUGCGAUCCCGAUCGGGCGUACGGGCGCGCGUCGCGGCUGCCCUGUCGGUUGUUCGCCGCGCAGGGGCAGCAUGCAGCAUUCAUCAGUCAGAGUUGGAUGCGCGAUGGGGGUGCGCGGCGUGCGGUUGCAGGCUUGGGCAACAACAACAAUUGAUUUCGGCGCGAGCGCAACCGCAAGUCGGCAACCGCGCACGGCGGAUCGCAUGAUCGCAACCGGUCACGGGAUCUCGGGCUUUGGUGGGAAGUUGGGCCGCCGCGGGCCCACCCGCACUGAUGGGCUGAUUCAAUCAAAGUUAGUAGUACUAGUGGGGUCGGUGUCUGGCGGUGGGUGCCCACUGCCCCCCAGGGGCGGGGCGACCGUUGGUUCCCGCGCUUUCUGGCCUCUCCGCGCAGCAGUCGUCUGGCCGGCGGAUGGGUGGUGCGUGCGGCACCGUCGCACCGAUCCAGGAAGACUGCACGAGUUCUUGACCUUCCUGUCACACAACACUGUAGGGCGGUGUGCAAUUCCAUAUGCCCACACAACACACACACCCAGCACUCCAUCACAAGCAUGGCACCACGGCUGGCUUGCACUUUGAGGGGAAAAAAAAAAACGUCCUGCAGCUAUGCUAGCAGUCAGUGGCCGGUGGGAGGGAGGCAUCAAGCCGAAAUAUCCGAAGAGAUAGGAUUUGCGAGCCGCGGGUGUUGUGUUUCGUUUGCUUCUUGCAUUGAAGCGCCGCGCCGUUGGGACGAUGUGCGAGAACGAAAGCUAAAGCUAGCUAUACCGCACUUUGUUGUCCCUUUGUCUGAGGCUGCGGUAGUAUAUGCCAACGUCAACGUCUGCCUAGCCUAGCAAUUCCUUGGAUCUCUCUAAUGCUCAGUGCCUAGCAAUUCCUUGGAUCUCUCUAAUACUCAGUGCCUAGUAAUAAUUAAAUUAAAAAAAAAAUAAAGAAGCAAUUCCUUCUCCUUGGAGCGCAACCACAAGUCUUCACCGACUUGUGCUUGAGCGAUGCGAGCCUAGUGGGCGGCCCGCGUGCGUGUGUGUUCGGUGCUUCCGUCCGAGCGGUGGUGCCGGCCGGCGCCUUCCUUGUGCAGCUAUAUACCAGAUUACCGGUGCUCCGUGCUCCACUGCACGCGCGCAUGCCUCCUCACUCCUCAGUGCUCGGUCCUCUCGCUCGUUUCCCCCUGUCAGGUGCUGCCUGCGUUGCGUGAGAGAUAAGAUAACAAGUAAUUACAGUAGUUAUAUAUACGUCUUAUUUAGUUCAUCCCGAAAUCCAAAAAGUUUUUAAGAUUCUCCGUCACAUCGAAUCUUGCGGCACAUGCAUGAAGCAUUAAAUAUAGACGAAAACAAAAACUAAUUACACAGUUUGUCUGUAAAUCGCGAGACGAAUUUUUUAAUCCUACUUAGUUCAUGAUUAUUUAAUCAAAUAAAAACGAAAGUGCUACACUAACGAAAUUCGAAUUUUUUUUCGGAACUGAACAAGGCAAUAGUACGACAGGGGAGAUCAGUGACCCAAGUAAUGCCAGUAAACUCGUGUAACUGCCAGAGUAAUUGCUCAAGAUCUCCCACGUGUCUUUGUCUCGAGACAAUGUACGUACGUACUGUAUAUGGGGAGAGUGUACGGCACGGCAAAAGGCAACGCCAUGGACACACUCACACACACGACAAGGGCCGGCGCCUCGAAGAAGGAGUAUACCCACCAGGCCCGUUGGUGCUGGCCAGUUGGGCGAUGCAUCAUCUUUGGCCACGCCAACACGAUCGAGUCCAGACAAGCUAGCCGCCUACCCGUCGCCGCCCAGCUGAUGCAAGCAAGACCAGCACGAUACCAUAUGUAUAAUACGGGAUGGAGUAGGGUGGUACGCGCGCGUAUGACCGUAUGUGACUCGAUCGGGCUACGAUGUAUAGUGUUGCAGUAGAUAUGUAAUAGGAACCGUAGAAAAUAAAAGUGAACAGUAGUCCUUUAUUGAUGGACGAUCGGGAGAGUGGGAACGUGAAAGAAAACCCUCAUUAACGGUUACUAAUUAUCCACUAAUUGAUCACUUUAGAAUAUUAAGAAUAUUCUUAACAUAUUGGAGCAGGUAGCCGCCCGGGCAGGAGGGCAGGCGUAUACAGAUCGAGACGAACUACCGCAAACUCAAUCGGUUGCGUACGGCACCGUGCGCAGGGUUAUUAGGUGCGAUCGAUGUGCAAUGUACGACACGCAAAGCAUGCAAAACCCACCCGGCCAGAGGGAAAGGGCCGGGGGAUUCCAGCAUCCGGCGAUCUUAUCGCAUCGAUCAUUCUCGCAGGCAUACUGAUGACGGCGGUGGUGGACGGUUGAGAGGCGUCCCGCAGCAGCUAGCGGUCGCCAUCUCCGCUGGACGAUCCGAUGAUGCACUGCACUGCCCACUGAUGGGAGGCAAGCAAAAAAUGGUGUGCGGUGUGCCAAGCGCAUUCACAGCGGGCGGGAGUUGGAAUAAUCGUGACAGGAACCUCUGCACCGCGAUUCCGCGACCGACGGCUGGGACGGACGGACGUGGGACGCCCACCGGUCGUCACCCGGAGGCUGACGGGGUGGGCCCUCACCUCAGGCUGACGGAGUAGGUGUUUGGGUUUGGGUUUGGGUUUGGGUUUUGGUUGAUGAGAUCCAAUCCAAGAGCGGCUCAAGCACGCGACGACGAAUCGUUCGCCUCAAUGCCCUGCCGGCUUUGAGGUGUACACGUCCGUCGUCGUCGAAUGCUGCAGCCAGCAGCGCGCGCUUUGAGGUGUCAACGACAAGCGGCGUGACACCCCAAGCCCGUCGUGGACCUUGUGGACAAACGGCGUGACACUCCAUCGCGUUUCAUUUGUUUGGGCUCAGCGCAACGCAAAGUCGGCAAUCCAACAAACUCUCACCUACAACACUGAGAGCACGGAAAGGAGAGUUCUGAUAAGGGUUCUUUUUUUGUUUUCCUGGAUCGACAGCAGCGCCAUUAUCGCUAAAGCUUGUAGUAGAUGCUGCUGCUCUGCUCACGUUGCCUCCGGCAGCCCGGCUCGAACAAUGAAUCCACGACAAGCGGCCUUUCUUGGCAAGACGUACACGCUGAUGACACUGCAUGCAUGUGUAGGAGUAUAGUCUUCUCGUACAGAUGCGAUGCGAGGCACAUGAGUAAAUGACCACCCAUUACAUUUACGGGCCGGCCACGAUCCAGACCGAUCCCGGUACCUUUAUUACCCAACCCGGGUACCCUGAACUGAGGCCUUGUUUAGUUUGAGAAAAAUUUUGGAUUUCGCUACUGUAGCACUUUUGUUUGUUUGUGGCAAAUAUUAUCCAAUCAUAAACUAACUAGGAUCAAAAGAUUCGUCUCGCGAUUUACAGGUAAACUGCGUAAUUAGUUUUUGUUUUCGUCUAUAUUUAAUGCUUUAUGCAUGUGCCGCAAGAUUCGAUGUGACGGGGAAUCUUGAAAAUUUUUGGAAACUAAACAAGGCCGAACGAAAUUGAGGCCUUGUUUAGUUCCCAAAAUUUUUCGUUUUUGGCUACUGUAACACUUUUGUUCUUAUUUGAUAAACAUUGUCCAAUCACAGAGUAACUGGGCUUAAAAGAUUCAUCUCACAAAUACAAGUAAACUAUGUAAUUAGUUUUUAUUUUUGUCUAUAUUUAAUUCUCCAUGUAUGUGACCAAAGAUUCGAUGUGACGGAAAAUUUUGAAAAUUUUUGUGAACUAAACAAGACCUGACUGAAUUUUAAUGUACACUGCGCAACACGAGGAUGAUGCUGGUGGAGGUAAUUACAUCAUGCUCAGGCCCUGCCUGGACCCGGAACAGGCGGGUUUUCUGAAGAAAUGUUCGGCGAACUGUGCCAUCACCUCCUCCGACUCCAUUUCAUUUCCCGUUUUGCAACCAAAGGUUGGGCGACAAAGUGCCAGCUCAGCUGUGUGGGAGUAAGGUUUUCUGAAGAAAUGUUCAGCGAGAUUGUAGAGUACAGUAGUUUACACAGAUUAAUGUGCCAGACUGCUAGCAGCACAGCCAAGAGCCUCAAGACAUCAUCCUCCUCCUUCCUUCCUGCCUGUAAUGUGCUGCUCCCAGCCACUCAAGCAUCAAUUCCUCUCCCUCCUUUUUCUCUUGCUACAGCUACAGCUAGUGGCCCUUUCGAUCCGCAACUAUGAUAUCACGUUUGUUUGCAUAUCAGAGAGGAAAACGAAUAAGAACAAGAAAAAGAAAAAGAAAUGCAGCAGCUAACGCAUCGACAUUAUUGUUUGCGCGGUCCUCGGUGGAGAGCCGGACAGUUGUUUGAGACGGACAACAUGCAGUAUCGGUCAGACGAGGUAGGCCUCGGGCUCUUAAUGAUCUUUUUUUACGGUGAUGGUAGGAUACCACAAUGCAGCCACACAGGUUGAAGGAGAAAAAUCCAGGCACGCACAACUAACUGCAACGGUGGAUCGUUCGGCUGUUCCUGAGGUCGGUUCGCACUUCGCACUAGGAGGUUAGAGAAAAGACGCUGGCGGCGCCAUGGCAUUGGCGUCCAACCAACUGGCCCCCUUCCUUCUACCGGCUGCAAACUGACAGUGAAAACACAGCAGUGACAAAAGCACUGACGUUAAAUAUCGACACCAGUAAUCAUACUGCCAGUGAAGAGAAGGAACCCGGUCUGCCGAUAAGUGAUUAGCCCUGGCCACUAGAUAGAGAACCAGAGAUGAAACCAGAGCCGGCCGGCCGGGCAUCCCUUUUGUCAACGGAAUCGGGAACCGCUGAAAAUUACUGAUACCAAACUCCAAUCCACAUCCACCGCAAGCGUGGAUGGACGGACGGCUGAACGCUAUCUCGUGGAUGGAUCAUGGAUGGACGGACGGCUGAACGCUAUCUGUUUUGACCGCCACGCCAGGGAAUCAAAUGCGUGCACCAAGGAAGGAAGAGGUGAUGCAGCUCUUUCUCCGCCCAGACAGAAACGCCCGAGAUUCCACCUUCAGCUGGGCUACAACUACAAGUACUACAAGGGUGGCUUGGAGAUUGGGCAUCUCUUCCAGCCAGAUGCUGCUGCGAGGGUAAAAAUCCCACUGCGUGCGUCGUCAGUCGCCAGAACGCAUCCAAUAGACAGAUCGUGAAAGAGGCAACAAGCUGUAAACUAAUGGCCGGGCAAACUGGGCGUGGAAUUUCUAGAUCGACAGGUGGCCAGGCCGGCGCAGCAAACUUGACCAGAAAUCAAUCAACCAUCCACGUCGCCGGCCGGGGCACUUUCUAGUUUUCUUUCCUAUAGCUUGGAUCAGUGCAGUGCAGUGCAGCGUGCGCGCGGGGUCGUAGUGGUUUAGGCACGGGAAUGAUGCUCAUGCUUUGCUGGUUGCCCCCGACCACGAGAAGUGCAUGAAUGAUGAGCGCAGAGAUCGGGUACAGGAUGCGCUGCGCGUGUGAUUUUGAUCGAGAAGGGGUGGAAAUAGUGGACGGAUUUGGCUUUCUAUUAGGUCAACUUGUGUGGUUCGUUGUGCACUCAGCCGCAAGCUGAUGCGUGUGUUUUUGUUAGGUUAUUGUUAGGAGAAGACAUUUCGAGCGGUCGUGCAUGUGCAUGUGCAUCUUGCAAUCCAUUUUGUAUCAUAUCAUAUAUAAUAAUAUAUAUCACGAGAUGAUGUACGCAAAAAGAUAAAGAUGGAGGCUUUAACAAGUGACAGUUGGACCGAAUGCUGCUGUCUAUCUGUUAGCCGAAGACAUGGGCCUAAAGGGAGAAUGGAUGGACUAGAUGGGCCUUUAACCAAUAUAGGCACGCGGCCUAGGAGCUAGGACAGGUCCUUUCUCAAAAUGGGCUAAGAAACCCAGUCGACGCCAUAGAAAGCUCAUGGAGUAUUCUUUGAAGGAAGAAGUCCACUUUACGUCCCUCAACUUUCCCAAAAGUCUGAUUUUCAUCCCUAAACUUCAAAAUCGGGUAAAAUACAUCCCUCAAUUUUUGAAACCAUGCAUAUUACGUCCCUGACAUGGCUAUGAGCGGUUUUGAAGGCAGUUUUGUUUUUUUUAUUUUUAUUUAUUUUGGCUGAAUAUUUGUAAAAUUAUAGUAAAUCACAUAAAAUUCAUAAAAUAGUAAAUCUGAUUUUGUUGGACUCCAGAUAAGUAGAUCUACAUAGUGAACAUAUAAUAUAGUAUGCUUUAGUACAAAAUUUUUAUUGUAGCUUUAGAUCUGUGUUUUUCUAUAAUUAAUUAGAAUAAUUCAUAGCUAUAGUUUGUGUGGUCUAAUUGUGGUGAUUUUUUUAUGUUAGACUAAUUAUUAUAUGUUUAAACUAUGGUAAAAAUUUCAUACUCAUUAGAUCAUGUAUAACUUAGUUAUAGAUUUAUUAUAAUUUAACAAGCAUAAACCUAAAUAAAUCUAUAACUAAGUAAUACGUGAUUCAAUGAGUAUAAAAUUUUUACUAUAACUCAAACAUAGAAUAAUUAGCUCACCAUAUAAAUUUCAUCACAAUUGGACCAUAGAAAAUGUAGCUAUAAUUAGUCUAAUUAAUUACAGAAAAACAUAGAUCUAAAGAUGCAUCAAAAAGAUUUGUACUAGAACAUACUAUAUUAUAUAUUCAAUGUGUAGAUCUACUGAUCUAAAGUCCAACAAAAUUGAGUUUUUUAUUUUAUGAUUUUUAUGUGAUUUAUUGUGAUUUUUCAAAAAAUUCAGCCAAAAUAAAUAAAAAGAAAAAGGUAAAACCGCUUUCAAAACCAGGUCAAGGAUGUAAUGUGCACAGUUUAAAAGUUGAGGGAUGUAUUUUGUCCGGUUUUAAAGUUCAGGGACGAAAAUUAGACUUUCGCGAAAGUUGAGGGACGUAAAGUAGACUUUUUCCUUCUUUGAAUCAGGAUAGGCCUUCAUGACCAUUUCCUCCUGGUAGUAGAUAUAAAAAGAAAAAGUUGAGAACCAAACUUUUUUUGCAGAGUGCGGCUCAAGUAACGCACAAAGAACGCCAAAAGAGCUUGACCUGAGCAAUGCCGCAAUGCGUGCCAUAGAAAAAAAAACGGUACCGUCGUUUCACGGCCACCUGUUGCUGGGCCUGAAAAUGUAGCUCAUCUGUUGGAGCCUUUUUUUGCGCAUCGUUUUUGCGUCACUGUGAUGAGAGUCGUCGUUCCUGCCGGUCAGGCUCAAGCUCAUCAUGUAUUGUAUGUUAAUCUGCACGGUUAAUGACUUUGUUUAAGCAAUUCAUCCGACGUCAAGAUGACAAAUUAAGGUCUUCCUUUGACGUAUAGCCUAGUAAAAAAAGAUAGCAAAGAAUACUCCAUCACAAAUUAUACGUCUUUUUUUAUUUUUAUACGUUUUUUUACUGUGCAUUUAGAUAUAUGCUAUAUAUAUAUAUAUAUAUAUAUAAUAGAAACUAUAUAUGUAUCUAGAAGAACCUUAUAGUUUAGAAUGGAAGAAGUUGCUUCAUGUUUGGUUAAGUCCUUAUCGUUGCUUCUAUGAUCAUAAUUGUGUUAGGUUACCUUUAUUCAAUGGUAGAACUUGGUUCCCUUAUUGAAAAAAAGAUUACCUAUAAGAAGCGGAGCUAACACGUGAUUAUUGGUUGCCCAUGAAAACCGUUAAGUAGGCUUACACAAUGCUCAAAACAUGUCCAAUACUACGUAAGCUAGUACGCCACGAUAUUAGACAAUUCUAAAGAUGAAAGAGAAAUAAGUUCAAGAUUAGAUAUGGCUUGUUCACAUUCUACAACUAAAUUGUUUUUGUCAAGUGAUCAUAUUAGUAGCUAGUAGCUCUACUUCUAAUGUGGAGUAUGGGUGUUUUUUGUCACUACGAGUGUUGGAUCUCGACAUAGCUUGUAGGGUAGCUAAGGAUCGAUUCUUGGGAUAGUAAGCUUGAGUAACCACAUGUUGCGUAUGGGAGUGGUAAGCCAAGUUUGGUGGUGACUUGCCAAUUGUAGGAAUUCGGCUCUCGAUAUAGCGUGGCGUAACUUGAGGAGUACUUUUGCCCAUCUCCGAACCAUUCAUGGGUUAGAAAGACAUCUUGAGGAAAGGUCAAAACCUCGAGAGAAUCCUUACUCAGCACGGGUAUGGGGGUUCAUUCUUGGCCUCCGUGUCGACACAAUUGUACACCUAUGUAGAGUUCUUUUCGAAAGCUUGAAUUAUUUGGACGGAUUGUUUGGUUGUUCUUCCUUCUAGACUCAAUAUAGUGAGGGUAAUGAACUUGUGAAUAAGAUGGAAUGUUGAUCACUUAUUAUUUAUAUAUCUUUAAUACAUGUGAAUUGAUAAGUUAUAUUAACCUUCACGAGCAUGUCAUUUUGCAACAUAUGCCCUACUUUCUUUUCGCAAAUUACAGAUGUCCAUUAAUUCCCCUUGCAUCCACCAAAUAUUUAUGUUGGAAUAAGUCUUCUGAGUAUAACCAUACUCAUGGUACUCCCGUUAAGCAUGUUAUAGGUACUUCGAAGGUGACCACCCAAGACAAGCUUGGGUGAAGUCUAAGACAUAGUAGUUAUGGGGUGGGCGUCUCUCGAAGUUGCAUUUACUCUAAUGAUUAACGACCAAGAGUGAGAAACAAACUAGAACAACGGCUUAGGGUCGUAGUUGGGUUAUACUCAAUCCUGUACUUGGUAACUUAUAAUCAUAAAUGCAAUGUAAAGUUCUUUGAUUUUUUUUGAGUUGUAUGAUAAGUGAGGUACGUGGAUCUUGAUGAUUGUUUCGUGGAAUGUUCCUCUAUAAUUUGAUCCUACGGGUACAACUCACCUAGAGAGGUUUGCUGGUUGCAACUUUGUGGACCUCUGCAUGACGUAGAAGUUAGCACCACGUCAGUUGAGAGGAUGACUCGGAUGCUAGCUUGGUGGGCCAGGAAAGAACCCUCGCGGCUGUCGUUCCUCACACAAUAACAUUAGGUCAUCGUCAGUUGCCAACGCUUGACACUGAUUAGUGUUGCAGGUUCCCUUGUUGGUUCAAUCUAAUUGAUUGUUGAGGUAGAGACCUUUCUUCAUUUUUUUCUGCCUCCUGUAGACAAUUAUGAGAGUGAAGACUUCCUUGUUUGACAUUUUUAUAUGCUUCUAGGUUGUGCAGUUGUAUUGGUGCAUUCAACCUGAAGGUAAAUUGACCUCUGUCAAUACUUGUUGAAUACACAAAUCCAUCACCCAUGUAUUGGUACCAAUAACAAGGAGCUACAAAUCCAUACCACAUACCAUAAGUUUCUCACAUAGGAGAAGAUGAGGAUUGGCCAUGCCAUACUCAUGCUACUCCAGGUGGGCGAUCUUGGGAAGUUCAAGAGUGUGCUGCUGGCUAUGGAGAAGGGCAAUUUUGCCUCCUGAGGAGGGACACUGCCUGUGGAGAGAACUGUGGGCGAUGAGGGAAACCAAUGGAGAAUGUGCGUGUGUUGUAAGUGCGAGGAAGUUGGAGGAGCUAUUUUUAGCGCUUCACAUAUAUACUUGUUGUGGUCGAGAAUCAUGAAGCGAAGAGCUACCAAACAAGCUCUAAUGUUAUGCAUGAUUAUAUUUAAAUGAAAGUAAACUAGAUUUUUUUAUCUCUUUUAUUAUAGCUAGAUGCUUUCCCUUAUGUCUAUCAGGUUCUAGCACAUUAUUACGCCAUGAGUACUAGACCUGUCAUUCUAUUAUGAAUACUUGAAAUAUGAAUGAUUACCGAGUUAAGAAUUUUCAAUUAGUAUAAAAAUAGUUUAAAAUCAUAGUAUAAACUAUGCUAUGGAAAUCCAAAACUGGUCCAUCAAAGAGAAAUUGAAAGAAAAGUGAAAACUUUAUGAAAUAAACGAACAUAAAAAUUGUAUGAGGUACAAAGAAAAAAUGGUUGGUGGCUAAAAAAGAAAUUCCUGUUCUCAUAUAUCUUUAAUAAUAUGUAUUGGUUCUAAAAUAACUCUACAAUAUUAGAAAAGAAACAAAAUUUUACACCCAUGAAUAUGAAAAACAAAUUAUUUUCCUAAUAACGACUCUAAGAAUAUGUAACAUCCCAAAAAUUCACAUUCAAAAAUCACUCGCAUUAAAAAUUAUUUUCAAAAACUAUAAAAUAAUUUGAUCUCUAUAGUAUCUCCAUCUAAUCCAUCCAUAUUUUUUUUCGUGCAUAAAUAACAGCGAGUACCAGCAAGCUUACAUGCAAGAAAACAUAGCAGUGCACCUACACGAAUAUAUAUCUCAUGCAUGCAUGCAGGACAUGCCACCGUCCAUUUGCAUGCACCUGCAUGCAAGGACACGGUGAUUAGGCACCGUCUAUUUGCAUGCAACGUGCAUGCAAAUGGGACAUCGUCCUUCGCAUGAAAUUAGGCACCGACCAUGCGCUGCAGUAGCAUUUUUAAUGGCACGCAGCUGAGCGCUUUGGCCUAUAAAAAGCCAGCCUCGGGUGCUCACUCUCACCACCCGAGAAACACGUUCACUCACUCGCUCACUCGCUCUCACUUCGCGUAUACCGUAUACGGCCAUACGCAUAAGCCGAGCUCGACUGUCGUCGCAAGACGAGGUGAGCAGCUCAUGAGCAUCUCCUUGCUCUUUUCUGUCUUUCUGUAGUAUUUUUCUAUAUUUUUCUUUGUAUUUGUCUGUACCGAUUCACUGCCAAGAACUCCACGAAUAGAACCAUGACAUACAGAAGAGCUCUAAUGACCCCUGCUAAUUUCUCUCUAACCAUGCAUGUGUGGGCCAUAAGCAUUAACUCCACCAAAUAGUACAUGCAUGCAUGCACUACCAGCCAAGCAAAUGCCCACGUGAAGCAUCCAUUUCUUAAUCAUCGUUAGCCCUUUUCGCAUGAUUAAAUUCUGGCCAUUUCACAAAUACCAUAUGCUAACUCUGAUUUUAAUAAUUCUUUUUCCUAAAUUCAUCUAAAAUCAUGACCUACCUCCCAUAUUAAUUUCAUAAUUUUUGGAGCUCAUUUGAAUUUAUAUGAUUAUUUGUCUGUGCCUGUUGUCUGUGUCGUUCGUCGCGUAUUUUAGCUGACGGAGUGAACGAGCCGGAAAACGAGAACGUUGGAAACGAGUACCGCGAGUUUGACGCCGAGGACCCGGACUGUCAGCAGGAGUUUGCCGAGGACGCCGACGGAGGCAAGUCCAACCGAUCCCCUUUGAUGCAUAUUGAUCCUAUUUUUAAACACAACCCGUAGAAGCCGUUUUAAAUAUUGCAUGUACAAUAUAUGUACGAAGUAUUUUCGCUGCUUAGUUAAAACCUGUUGAAUAACAAUCCUUGAAUUGAUAUUACCCGGUAAUUGUCUUGUUCGAACCUAGGAACAAAUAAUAUGCUAUGAUAGAAAUAUUAUUAUUUAGUAUGCUUAGGAUUUGUUACUCAUCCUGGAUACUCAUCGCUAUAUUUUAUUAAAUAUAAUGAUUUUAAAAGUAAAAGGUGUGAGUGGUGAAAAUAAAUUGUGGGUAUUGUGAAAGGGUUAAUGAACAAGUUAUAGAUGUGAUUACUAUGGAGAUGGGGCGGAUGGGAUCUCUUUUGGAGAUGCCCUGGUGUUGUGGCUUAUACCUUGCGGGGUUAAGCGUGAAGAUAUCCGCCUUGUCUCGAUUAAGGACUGAGUUGAUGAUUCAUCUUGCCUAACUCAUUUAUCGUACAACCACUCGCCUUGCAUGGGAAAGGCUUAGUCUAAAUCCCUCUAGUUAGUAUGGUAAUCACCUGGAGGCAGGUGUGCAACGGGACACUAAGUGAUGUAUGUGAAAUUGUGGAAAUAUAUGAAAAGAGCUUUGUGAAUUAUUGUGGUAUCAUGAGAUGUGGACUUAGUGUUCCCGUGGUGAGCGCCAUUACUUAGCUAUGGAGGGUAAUGACUUUGAUGGAUCUGUGCUUGCACGACGGUGUAAGUUAUAGUAUCCUACUUGUGGGAAAAGUGUACAACCUCUGCAGAGUGUAAUCUAUCUGGAUAGCCGUGUCCGCGGUCUCGGACGGGUUAUGGUUUGGUUUCAACAACUAGAUGGGAUGGUAUGAGUGAAAACAUGAGAGUGAGUGUGAUUUUGAAAAUAAAUGGUUGACUGCCAUUGGGUUGUGGGAACAAGGGUUCAACAACACUUAAAAUUGUGAUUAAACCCCCAUUUUUAGAAAUACUAUCAUAUGUGGAAAAGGAGCUCUUUUACAACAGUAUUUGUGAAAUGAAACCUUGCAUGUGUAAAAAGAUAGCUUUAUGCAAAUAAAACUAAGCCUCAUCCUUGAUUUAACCAUAUGCAUAUAUACUGUUAUCCCCUUCCGUAGGGUAAAGUUGGAUUUGCUGAGUACUUUGUACUCACCCUGCUUUAUUAAACAGAGGAAGAUCCGGACUUCGAUCCCGAAGUGACGUUCGAGUAAGGUCGUGUCUGCACCCAACUAAGCCUGUGGCAUUGGGACUCGUCAGAUGUUCGAUGGCGAUAUCGUUUGUUUCUGGGUCCUUUGGACCUGUGUUGUAUUUUGGUGUCUUAUUAUUAUAGCGUGCCUUCCUUGUCCACGCUUUCCAAGACUACUGCGCUGAAACUUAUCUGAUGUAAUAAAUGUGUUACUAGCCUCCUGGGACUAGUAUUGUAUCACAUUUGAGUUCCUGGUUUACCAGGGGCGCUUCAGAAUACAUCAUACAAAAAAUGACAAAUUAAAAAACAUAGGAUGAAAAAUAUAAAAUAGAAAAUUGUAAGGCGAAUGACGCAAGAAAAGAAAAAAAGGACGAAUAGAUCAUGGAGUAUAGCCAAAUCUAUACUAUACUCCUAUAGCUGGAGGUAGCGCCUCCUCUCACAGAUCACUGUUUGUGAACAAUUCUCUCUCACAAAACACUGUUCUGGUACCAGUAAACCCGUUAAAGAACAGUAAAAGUCCGUUAAGUAACAGUGAACCCGUUAACAGAACAGUACAAAUCCAUUACUACCCGAUAAAAAACAAUAAACCUUGUCUAGAAACAGUUACACCCGUUACUAAAUAUUUACGGGUUCCGAACAUAACGGGUUAAAAAACCCCGUUUACUGCUCCGUGCGAAAGCACGGGGCACCUGCUAGUUCUAUAAUAUGAGGUAGAAAAACACACCCUGCCUUUGCUAUGGUCACCAUCAUUAUGAGAACAUCACUCUUAAAUAAUAAGACUUAAAAUUAUCAUGUAUUUUGUCCCUGCCGCAAGGCGUGUUGUAGCAUUAUCCGUUCAUGUUGCGAUGCACGAACGUGAUCUAUCUAGUAAAAGAAAUUGUGAUUAGGUUUAAACGCGGAUGGAAACCUGAGUCGACGGCUCCCGUGUUUGCUAGCGCCGGUGCCAGACAACGGCAACAGAACAGGUGUCCCUCGGCUGGGCGGGCGAGGUGGCGCCGUGGCACGCCGCACCCGAUGUCCUGGACACAUGAGGUCAGAACUCAGGAAAUAAUGGAGUCCUGUGGAGCCGAGACACACCACGCAGGAGCUCGUCGUGCCGGGCCGCCGCCCGCCCGCGCCGCCACCUUUGCGUGCUCGGGGGGAUAAAGCGGAGGAUCUCGUCGCGUCCACCCUCCUGGCGCCGUACGGAGGACCCCAUCAACCGGCGUGAGUGCGCGACGGUGCUACUAGCGGUGUAACCAGAAAUUAUGCAUAGGGGAGAUCAACUAAAAAUUCAACUAAUCAAAACUAGUGAUCAUUUAGCUUAAUUUAUCGACUUGAUAUAGGUGCUCACAGUAUAUGUAUUUUAGGAUCAAAUGUGUUAUUAUUUUGGUGGUAGACGAUAAAUCCUUAAUAGCAAGAUGUUUGAGAUAGUUUUGUAAACCUUAAGAUCUGCGUCUCAGUUUUUCUAAGGUGCUUCAUUGUAUUAUCUAGUUAUUUGUACUUCCUUCAUCCCAAAUUAUAAAUCAUUUUAAGAAUCUUAGAGAAUCAAAGUAUCACAAGUUGGACCAAAAUUAUAUAAAAACUAUAAAGAUUUAUAUCACAAAUAGAUAUACUAAAAAAUAUAAUUAAUGAAGAACCUAAUGAUACUUAGUUGGUAUCAUAAAUAAUUAAAUAUUAUUAUCUUAUCAUAUAAAUUUAGUUAAAUUUGGGAUACUUUGACUCUCUAAAUUUUUUAGAAUGACUUAUAAUUUAAAAUAGAGGGAGUAUGAUUUUAUUAUCUAGAUGAUAUUAAUAAGUAUAUAUGACAACAUUAUUAUAUUUUUUAAUAUAAAUAAAAACCAUUAAUUUAUACUAGUAAAAAAUUUUGUUAACAAAUGUUUAGGGGGCCAUGGCCCCUGCCACCCCCCCGGCUCCGCCACUGCGUGCUACCCACCAAAUAACACCACGCCACGCUGCCAUCCCCCGGCUCCGCCACUGCGUGCUACCCACCAAAUAAGAGCAUCUCCAAGAGUUUGCUAUUUUUUACUUGGCAAAUCUUGUAUUUUGCCAACUCCUAAAACAAAAUACCAAGUGAAAAAAGAGACUAUUUCCAAGAGUUUGCUAUUCUUGACUUGCCAUAACCAAAAAUAGAAGGCCCACAAGAUUUUUUUUUUACCGAUCAAGCUGUUGUCGUAGAAUCAGCGAGAUUGAUGCCACCGCCGCGUCGUCCUUCCUAUGCUGCACGUGAAGGUUCCCUCUCCCAGCAAUUAUCUCCACCGCCGGCCAUCUCCCCAAGCAGCCACGUACCUGAUUAGAUCAAGGGCAUCACGCAGCAGCAGGAGCCGUCGGGGCAGAGGCCGGCCUUGCGCGCGUGAACUGAUGAGAUGACUCACGCAGCAGCCGUUGGGGAGGAGGCCGGCCUUGCGCCGUGAAUUGAUGAGAUGGUAAACGCAACAGCCGUCGAGGAGGAGGCCGGCCCUGCGCACGUGAACCAGAUGGCUGUGUGCGGAUCCGAUCUCGCAGGAGGAAGACGACGAAGUUUCCGGCGCGCGGGAAGGAGCCGCUACGGAACGGGAUACUACGAUGCGCGGUCAAUAUGCGCGCGCAUAUAUGCGCGUGCGGAGGGGAAGAAUGGCAACUUGCUAAAAUUGCCAAGUUAAUUUACCAAUCUGUUGGAGACUACAAUUUUUUGUUUUGUCAAAUUUUUAAGAAUAGCAAUCUCAUUUGGUAAACUCUUGGAGAUGCUCAGCGGUCUCAUGUAUGCCGACGUGCCGUGUGUCACCGUGUUGUUAGAAGUUUAGAACCAAUUCGUUAAGCACUUUUUGCAAUAUUUUACGCACACACGUCUACCGAACUGCAAUAUUUAAUCUGCAAUUAACAACUCUAAUUGCGUAUUGCCAUUCAUCCAGCAGAUCCAGCUGUGGCCUCUCUCGUGCGUGCUGGACGAUCGAGUCACUUCCUAAACUGCCACGUCCCCGAAGAGCACCACCGAUGAUCCCGACGGCUUACGUAAAUCGCGGGCCCAGGUAAGAUCCGUAGAUACCCCCGACGCGCGAGGGCAUUCCGGGCAUUAGCCGCGCCACCUGCGUGUUCUAGCGAUCUCCUCCGCCUCCCUACUCCUCCCCCUUUCUCCUCGACUCGUCCAAGACAAAAAAACCGUCUGCCCUGCCUGUGGGCUGUCUGCUGUGUUGCUAUAGCCCAGUCUUCUCUCUCUCACGCGGCACGCGAGCAAGGGGACCGACAGCCGGAGCGCUCCUCAGCCCCUCCGCACCUUCGGGUCUCGCGGUGGCGGCGCCGGCGGGCGCUGCCGAUCGCCGGCGGCGGCCGAGAUGUUGGAGGACCAGGUCGCCUUCCUGCUGCAGAAGUACCUCGGCAACUACGUCCGGGGGCUCAGCAAGGAGGCGCUGAAGAUCAGCGUCUGGAGAGGUCAGUCAGGACGACUCGCCGCCACUUCCCCUCUUAUCUGCCCGUCGCUGCCGCUUUGAUUAAUCCGACUCCUGCUGUGAUCACACUGGCAGUUUGGGGGGUUAGUUUACAUUUUUUAUCUUAAAAUUUGCUGCGUGAGUGCUGAUCAAUUGAUAACGUUGAGGAGUUCAGUCUGAGCGUGGGUUGUGCUAUAUGCUAUAUACGUGGUGGUUGCAUUGGAUGGGGGCUAACGACAACAAUUUGAGCUAGUUAUGUCAGGGACAGAAGUGGGAUUAGUGAAUUUGAUGAAUCUGCGACUCUCCAGUGUUGGUUCCUCUGUGAUUGCAGAACUGUUUUAGCUAUGCUUGUUCCUAAGAGGUUCUAGUUUCAGUGCUCAGAGAAUUACGGAGCUGACUUGGUGACACAUUGUUGUGGGCAUUCAGGUGUGAGACUGCAUGCUUGUUUCUGAGCGUUUUUUUACCAGCAAUCCUCAGUGUCUAGAUGUCAUCAGCCAUGAAGCAUGUCUCCAAGCAAAUCAGCAUUUUGUAAAUUUGGCUUAGAAAUUUGUCAGCAGAAGGGCUAGAGAGCUGUGGUUAUCUGUGAAUUUUUUCACACUGCUAGCUCAUAAGGUCACAGAAUUAGGAAAGCACUCUGCUCGGAGUGAAGUAUUUGGAUCCCUGAAUAUGGAAAUUGCUGUUAAAGAGAAACAUAUCAUUAGGUAACCAAUAUAAAGCUGGAGAUGCAAGCAGUAUCUCCUUGUGUGUGGACUGUUCACACAAAGUAACUGUAACUGGAGUGUGCUGUGGGCCACUGACUUUCUUGAAUACUCUCACAAAAUUUGUUAAGUAAAUGAUCAGGUAGUCAAGGGUUUUCUGAUCUUGAAAAAAGGAGCUUUGCCUCAUUCACAGUGAUAAGCUGAUCACCCGAAUAUGCUGAUUGUCUGAAGUCUGGACUGUGAUUGAAAAUGGAGCAUGAUGACUCUGGAGAGAUAAAAACAUACUAUACAUUGUUUUCUUGGUCCUGACUGUUUAUAAGAGCUUUUCAGAAUUCAGAUUCAUGUUAGGCACUGAUGAUAUGGAAGCCCAGAGGACAAAAUGACACCUGUAGUUGCGGUAGUUUCUGAGCAGAAGAAUAUUUUCUUCUCUGAUCAAUUCUUUUGUUUUAAAUUAGCAAAUUUGUGAGAUGGGAGCAUAAAUGGCUUCCCAACCUUAACUGACAAAAGUAAACACAGCAAUGUUGGCAGCAGUGUUUUCAAUUGAAAUUUUGGAGGAAUUCACAUAGCAAGUGAUUUGCCCAGGGGUGUACAUGAGUGCCUAGUCUUGAUCAGACAUCUACAUCAAUUGUUGGAUGUUAGAUGGCAAGUUCAUUUGAAUUAAGGUGCAUGUGGCUUCGACAUUUGGUGAGAGCAUAGGAGGAAUCUAUAACUUGUAAUGGUAGUCUUGUCAUGAGAAGUGUAUGAGCUGUUGGUAGGCAUCAGCUGGCUUUUGUGCCAGUGGUUUCAGGGCACGAGUAAGGGAACUCAGGUCAUGUGCAGAACAAUUCUGGGUAUUUGAUUAAACUAACAUUUGGUUUCAUGAUGACAUCAAAAUGCAAUGUGGUCCAUGGUAUUUAGUGAAGUUAUUAGCUGGAGCUUGAAGAUACCCACAUUCAUGUGUGCACAUGCACGAGGGGAUCAGGGGGGACACAAUUUUCUUGCCCCAGCUAUUGACCAUUUUUUAAUCAUUGGCACGUCUUCUAUUACCUAAUGAUGUUCUGUUUUCUGAAACAUUGUUUCAGGUGAUGUAGAGCUCACAAACAUGCAACUGAAGCCAGAAGCGCUCAAUUCAUUGAAAUUACCUGUUAGAGUCAAAGCAGGUUUUCUUGGUUCUGUGAAGCUCAAGGUUUGGAGUAGUAAUUUCUUUGGUUUAGUACAUAUAGUCAUCAUAUACUGAAUUUGUUUUCUGUAAUACGGAGGAAUGGGUUCAAGGAUGUCUGUGUCUAUGAUUGUUAGGUUCCAUGGAGCAGGUUGGGACAAGAGCCAGUUUUGGUUUAUCUUGAUCGGAUUUUUAUACUAGCUGAACCAGCAACACAAGUUGAAGGUUGCAGUGAGGAUGCUGUCCAGGAAGCAAAAAGAAGUCGAGUUAGGGUAAUAAAUUUCUGAUGACAGCUAAGUGAUUUUUGCAAUUAAUGUUGGAUCCAUGCACAUACUGAUUUUUUGGUUUACACAGGAAAUGGAGAUCAAAUUGUUGGAGCGCCAACAGCAACUGAAAUCUGAACUAGUAUGUCACAGUACUGUUUCUAUGUGUAAUUGGGAUAGUCAACCUUCCCUAUAUUUUUUACCUGCUGUCUUGUGGUUUAGAUCCGACCAUCUUAGAUACUUUUUUCAUUUCUCACUGCGAUUUUCCUUUUUUGUGGAAGAAUUCAUCAUGGCUUGGGUCUUUCAUUGGCACUGUUAUUGGAAAUAUCAAGUUAUCCAUUGGCAAUAUUCAUAUUAGAUACGAAGACGUAGAGAGGUAAUUCAGUUCUCCUCAGUGGUUUAUCCUUCGGGCUGCAUAUUUUUAAGGAGUAUAAGAACACUGUGACCUGUUUCCUGUAGCAAUCCUGGCCACCCUUUCGCAGCAGGUCUGGUACUUUCAAAGCUUUCAGCAGUUACAGUGGACGACUUUGGCAAGGAGACUUUCGCCACAGGUGGUGAUUUGGAUCGAGUGAAAAAGGUACAUUGUUCCUGCAUUUUGUUUCCACAGUUAAUUUGAUAUUAGUCAUGGCUGCUGUCAACUUCUGGGAGUCCAGUUCUGGUUUUUGUGAUCCACGUAGGAAGGAAAGUGAGUACACGAGGAAAUACCAUUUCCUCUGGCAAUUCCUUGAUAAAUCUAUCUUCCAUCUCCAAGAGAUGGUGAUUGUUUGUUCUUUUGCGUAGCCGAAUAUUAGGCUCAAAAGUAAAAAACAACAACAAUAGUUCACUUUUUUUCCUAAUUUUGGUGGCCAAUUAAUUUGACGUAAAGCUUUUUGGACCUAGUAGUGAAUUCUAUUCGCUUCAACAGUGAAUACAUUGAACAUUUGGCACCUUUGGUAUGCUUAUUUGUUUUAGUUUGACUCUCUCUCUCUCUCUCUCUUACUUUUGACUAACUUGCAUUACUUAAUUAACUUAUUUGGCAUUUUACAGUCUGUUGAACUUCAGAGUCUGGCGGUGUAUUUUGACUCUGAUAGCAGUCCUUGGAUUGUGGAUAAACCCUGGGAGGAUUUACUUCCAUCAGAGUGGAGUCAGGUACUUGUGUUUGUGUGCAAAUAAAUACCUGAGCUUGAGAGUAUAAAUCUGCAUGGAGACAAUUGUCUUUGGCAAUAUCUACCAGGAAAAAACAUGUGGUAGAAUGUGGAUAGCCGCGGUGCUGUAGUGAGGUUCUGGUGGGGUCUCUUUUUCUAAUGUUGCUUGCAUCCAGCAUCCUGACAAAUCUUUAUUGGUUUGUAAAAUGCAUUUCAGGUUUUUGAGUUUCAGGAGCAGGGCGGUUCCAGAUCUGCUUCAAAAAAGCAUGCCUACAUUUUACAACCUGUAUCUGGCAAAGCAAAAUAUACAAAGAUACAACUUACUGAGGCAAAGAAAACAGGACAAGCAUUGCAAAAUGCUGCAGUUGAUUUGGAUGAUGUUACUCUGUCGUUGUCAAAGGUUUGUACUCUUGUCUUCUCUCUCAGUUAUGAGUUAUGUCAAAAGCACUUUGAAAAGUAAUACCUUUUCCCUCAAACUAGGAUGGCUACAGGGACAUGUUAAAGAUGGCUGAUAAUUUCUCUACUUUCAAUCAACGGCUGAGAUAUGCUCAUCUCCGACCAUCUUUACCAGUAAAAUCGGAUCCACGAGCUUGGUGGAAGUACGCAUACAAGGUGGUGACUCAGGAAAUGAAGAAAGCAAGGUAUGUAUAUCUGCACAUUCUUCUUACUUCCAAUUCAUAUAUAGAUUCCAUGCAUUAUUUACUGGCAUGAAAAAGGUGCUCAGUUUUCUUUUUAAUAAUAAUUUUCUGGUUUCACUAUCCUUUAUCAUAGUUUGGGCUACCUAUAUAUGUAGACUGGAUUAAUGCUUGUUAUGUUUGCUUUAGCCUUUAGCCUAUCAUAAAUCCAAUGCACAUCCCAAUAUUUGUUUGAAUCAUGCUGUGGGAUAUUUGCUUGUCUUCUUUCUUUAUUUGGGUGGGGCUAUUGAUUUUCUUUGUAGUACUGUACCAUGUCAGUAGUGUUUAUGUAAGAAAAAAGAAAGCAAUUGAGCAGUGACAGGGGACUCACCAUUUGCCUGGCAACUGAUUUGAGGCUUUAUUCUUGUGUACUUUUCUCUUCAAUGUGUGUUCAAGUAGCAUCACUGAUAUUUCGUUUGACAGUGUUUCCUUUAACUUUGAUAUCAUCAAAUAUGUUCUCAUUUCAUGUGCCUUUAUGUCAGUCCAACCUUUGUUGAUUCUUUGAUGGUGAUGUAUCUAACUUAUGGAUGCAGUUGGAGUCUAUCUUGGGAGCAAUUAUUGAGAAAUGCAAGACUUCGGAAGGAGUAUGUAUCUUUAUAUGCAUCCCUCUUGAAAUCUGACAUGAGUCGACUGGUUGUUGAUGACAAUGAGGAGAUUAAGAGGCUGGACCGUGAACUUGAUAUGGAGGUUAUUCUACAGUGGAGGUGAUGUGCUUCUAUUUUUGUCCUCAGUACAGCAGUACAUCUCCGUGGGGAUUAUCCUGCAAAUAUUAAGUGAAAAGUGUUAAGGUAUAAUAGUCAAGGGCAAUAGGGUAACCACCCUAGUCUAGGAUUUCUCUCCUAUGUCCCUCAUGUACUCUAUAUAUAGUCCUCACUAGGCCUCAAUACCAUAAUCUAGUUGUGUCUCCCUUUAUUCAUGACAUGGUACCAACGCCCUAGGUUUUUUGAUCCUCCACCACCCUCGUCUCCGCUGUGCUACCCCCGGGAGGAUCAUCUGCUCCUGGGGGCAGCCUUCUAGAUUUUUUUUCAUCCUCUGGAUGGAUCUUCAGCGCCACCAUCACGGCCGGGUCUGGGAGUCUGCCCAUCGCAGACCACCCAUUGUCUCCAUGUUAUCCAUCACGAAAUCACCGUGCUUCCUCGUCAUCCGCUUGGCCUUCUUCUGUGUCGCCCUGUGUCCACACAGACUGUGCCCCUCGCACAGGUAGGUUACACUAAUACCCUUGACUAUUAUACCUUAACAAAAAGGCUGGUAGCAGCAUCCCAUGAUGAUCUGUACCAGAGAUUCCUAAAAGAGUGUGAUGUAGAGUUUGGGGAGGUUGCUAAAGUUUUGCCUUCACAAAUUCGUACAGGGUGACUUUAGGUUCGCAAAAGAAGUUCACCUUAUUGCACUGUUUUUUCCCACUUGCUCAGUUGCCCUUUCCCAUGAAAGACAGUGAACGCGCACUACAGUGCACUACAUAGGUUCAGCCUUUGAAGUUUGAAUACCCCCACCCCCACCUUCAGCCUUUCACAUUCGCUCUGCACAUUGAUAUUGGUCCAGCUUUUAACAUCCAUGUCACUGCUCUGCACACACCCUUUUCUUUCCUGACAAACAACAGUGAUAUGCACACUUAUUUCUCGUAAACUGCAUGUUCACCAUGUAUCCAAUCUGCACUCCACUUUAUGAAAUAUUAUUUUGCCCGUAACUGUGACAGAAGAUCUCUGAUUCUUGAGUAGGUCAUCCUUUUUUUUCCGCUCAAAUACGCAGAAGAUCUGUGUAUCAUUGCAUUAGGCCAUCCUUGCUUUUGAGCUUUUAUUUUUUGAGCUCAACAUGUAACAUUGUAUAGUUAGUCCCUUGAACAGAGCAUGUUCUUGAUUCUUCACAUCUUGAAUACACAUUGAACAACCUAUUAUGCCUCUUAUCUUCAUCCUUGAUUCUUGUCACAAUAGUUGGCAAAUGGACAUGAAUUUUGUAUGUAAUUCGAGAUUCAUGUGCAUACACCCUAUCAUUUAUGCUGAUGAUGAGUGCAGUUACCUUUAUUUGAUACAUACAAUCUUCUUAUUUUGUGUAGGAUGCUAGCUCACAAGUUUGUAGAACAGUCGGUGGAAACAUAUCAGUAUGCUCAACAAAAUAAGAAGCAGUCCUGGUGGUCAUUUGGAUGGUUGAUUUCUGGCAUAUAAAACCCUAUUGUUUCUAUAUUGUUAAAUAUGCUGCAAUUAAUCUGUCUUCAUAUAGGGCUGGCUCUUCAAAGGAUGAGGAAGAUUCAAAGAGUUUUACUGAUGAAGAUUGGGAAAGGUUAAAUCGGAUUAUUGGGUACAAAGAAACCAAUGAGUAUAUCCCUGAUCAACAGGAUAUGAAACUGAUGCAAUUUGAUUUUGAAAUACGUAUGAAACAUAAUGCAUCAAAGCUUACCAUUGAUGAUUCGGAGUUCCUUGCUGAUCUCUCGUGUCAAGAUUUCUGCUGCAACUUGAAAAUGUAUCCGGAGGCAAAAAUAUUUGAUCUGAAGCUGGGUUCCUACAGGCUUUUAUCUCCAUAUGGCCUUCUUGCCGAGGUUUCUGUGUCUGUUCAAUUUGCCUUUUACACUUAGUAACUAUGGUAGUCGCUGACAUGAUUCCGUGUUCUGUACGUUCUAGAGUGCAAGUGCCAUUGAUUCUUUUGUUGGUAUCUUCUCCUACAAACCUUUUGAUGAACAACUAGACUGGACUUUGACAGCUAAAGCUUCUCCUUGUUAUAUAACUGUAAGCUGCUAUCCUCAUCAUACCUUAGUGUGCAUACAUUUGCUCUACUAUUUGACAAUUUGAGUUUUUGUUCUUAUAGUAUUUAAAGGAUUCAGUUGAUCAAAUUGUUGGCUUCUUCAAGAGUAGCCCUACCAUUAGCCAAAACUUGGCACUAGAGACUGCUGUUGCUGUACAGGUAUCUAUGAGUGAAGUCGAUUUGAGGAAAGACUGUUUCAUGUGAUCAGAUGAUUGAUUGAUCAUUCUGUGUUGCUUUGUGAAGAUGACACUAGAUGAAGUGAAGCGGACUGCUCAACAGCAAAUGACUCGGGUGCUAAAAGAUCAGUCCAGGUUAGUGUAGUUUUUCCUCCAUUUUCAUAUUCUGAAAAAAAUAUUUUCAUGUGGGUUUUCCACCAUUCUCAUAUACUGAAGAAAUAUUUUGAUGAGGACAGAAUGGUACUGUAAAAAAAUUUCCAAGAAGCCCUAGAUUUCAUGGUAUAACCUGGGCAUUAUUAGCUUCCUUCGACUAAUAUUUUUUUUAUUUUGGUAAAAUAAAAAAAGCAACCACAGUAUCGUACUUAGUUAGAGCCUAUGCAGAAUAUUUAGCUGCAACAAGGGCACUAAAUAUUUUACUAGAAUUUCAACCUCAAAAGGAAUUUGAAAAAUGGGAUUGCGGUUUCCCCUGAAAUAAGGAUUAUUGUAACUUUGUCUAUACCAUGAAAAUUAUGCUGAUGUUGUUGGUUUGUAUUUGAGUUCAGAUAUCUACAUCAUUGCUUCUAUGCUAAAGCUACACUAAAGAAUUAGCUAUAUUUUCUUUUGUCAACCCCUUCUUCGACGCCGACUAAUGCGUAACAUAACCCCUAUUAGGUUUUCACUGAACAUGGAUAUUGCUGCUCCAAAAAUUACUGUUCCUACCAAGUUCCGACCAGAUGAUGUACAUGAGACUAAGCUUUUGCUUGACCUUGGAAAUUUAGUUCUUCGGACAGAGGUUGUGUCUUCUAUUUGCAAGUAAGAUUUUUAUAUCCAAGUGUUUGGUUUGUAUGCUACUAACGUCACUUUGUUUCUUCAGGAAAUAUGGGAUGCCUAUAGUUCAGAAGAGCAGGAUAUAUAUCUAAACUUCAAUUUGGUGCUUAGUGAUGUCUCUGCAUUUCUGGUGGAUGGUGAUUACCAUUGGAAUGAAACAUCUGAUGAAACAAACUUGUUGCCGGUAAUUGACAAGUGUGGCAUUGCUUUGAAGCUUCAGCAGGUAAACAAUACUCUGCCCAGACCUUUUUUUCCGGGUUUUGGGGUGGGGGGUCUAUUAAAUGUUAUCAUCAUGACAUGGGUUGCUGUUCCGUCUUUGGACAGAUCCAGUUAGAAAGUCCUCUCUAUCCUUCCACAAGACUGGCGAUACGGGUGCCUUCCCUAGGAUUUCAUUUCUCUCCUGCACGCUAUCAUCGUUUAAUGGAAAUUUUUAAAAUUUUUCAAGAUGGUGCUAGUGACAAUAGCAGUUCAGAUCAUGAACACUUGUGGGAUCAUGCUGACUUUGAAGGAUGGUCAUCUCUUCUCACAUGGAAGGUUUACACUCCUUUAUAAUUUACUCACUAAUGUUCCAUCAUUUUGGAAUUAUAUUCUUUCUCUAAACUAUUUUCAUGACCUGCUGUUAGGGGGUUGGAAACCGGGAAGCUGCUUGGCAACGCAGAUAUUUGCGUCUAGUGGGUCCAUUUCUCUAUGUAUUUGAAAAUUCAAUGUCAACAACAUACAAGCAAUGGUUCAGGUUAUGCACUUUCCUAUAGUUCUGAAUCCUAAGUUACUGUCAAGUUUGGAGCUUAUAGUGUCACGUUCCACGCCUAGAAUAGACUGCUUGGCCAUAUGUUCAAAGGUCUGGCAUCACUGUAGCUUUUGCUGGGAUAGCUGGAUAUGGACAGUAGGUGUGGAAUGCUUGAGGUCCAAGGAAGGCCCAGCAGAGGACACAGCUGAGGGUGUGGCACGUUCAUUCUAAAUGGCUGGCCCACCAUUUGAAACUUGAAUCUCACUCUACUCCUGGGGUGCCUCAUUGGAGCUGCACCUCAGCGGAGUAAUGUCAUGUGAUUAUAUGAAUGGUUUAUGUUUAUUUUUUGCAUUUUAAUGUGCCAGGACACUUGUUUUAACACCUUUGUGUUGAGGUGCAGUUUACGUGGGAAACAAGUUCAUCAGGUACCUACUGAGCUUACAAAUGGCGUGCAUAACAUCCUGGCGCUUCAUGAUUCUGGCCAAGUUAAUCCCAAGGAACGGUCUAGUGGCACUUCAUAACAUUCUGCUCUACUUCAGUUCCCCUGGCGUAAUUGAUUAUCUCAAUAAACUUUAUUCUUUUACAGAUUCUGGAAGACACUGGUGCUUUAAUUUUGUUGUUUGAUAAUGACGAGGGACGAAAGAUAUGGCAGAGCCGUUUACAGGGUGCUAUAUACCGUGCAUCGGUACUCCUUGUUUUGUUUCUUUCUUUUUGGUCAAUUUUUCAUUACAUAUCUAUCUUCUGUUGGCAUCCAUAGAAUUAUUAGUCUGCUUUUAGGGUUCUGCUGCAAUUUCAAGCUUUCCUGGAGUUGCUCUCCCAUCAGAGGCCCACUCAUUCAAAGGCAGCUUUCCUGAUGUUGCUGACACAGAGAAAUUAUUUGUUGCUGGCAUUCUUGAUGAAUUAAAGAUAUGUUUUUCAUGUGGCUAUGAGGUAUUUGUUUCUCGCCUAAUUUUCUUUGUUUCCUUGAUUCAAUGUUUUUGAUGCAACUCAUGCUUCUGUAGAGUAACCACAAACUAAAAAAAGUUCUGCUAGCCAAGGAGAGCAGCCUGUUUGAAUUUCGGGCAGUUGGUGGCCAGGUAUCGAUCUUUUCUUUUGUGUGGUCCUUGCUUUGUGACUCUUAUUAACAUAUGUUUUUUUUUUUGGGGGGGGGGGGGGAUAAACAGGUUGAACUCUCAAUGAAAGGUGGCAAUUUACUGAUAGGAACUAUUUUGGGGUCACUGGAAAUUGAAGACCAGUUUUACUACCCAGGGAGUCCUGUGCCAAGGUUCUUGGCAAGGUCUUUUAUCAAUAGCAUGCAAACCCAAGAAUUCCCAUCUCCUAGUCGAAAGAACAGUGCAGGACCUAGAGGCACCCAAUUGAAGAAAAAUGACAGCGAGGAAAACUUUUUCGAGGCAUCAGAUGAUUUUGAUGAAUUUGAAACACCUAUGCAUCAAGAGAGGACUAUAUCAGACUAUUUUAGCACCCAGAACUUUUUGCCUACUAGUGCUCCUUCCCUACAGCCGCCAACAUUUGAUCGAAUUCCUGAUUUGAUACCAGACACUGAACUUCAAACUGGGGGAUUCACAUUGGAAGGUAGUGGCACUUUCGAUAGUUUUGUGAAAUCUCAGAUAGUGAUUUAUGAUCAACAUUCCCCCCAGUACAACAGUGUGGACAACAGGGUAAAUAUCUCAAAAAUCUCAUUACAUAAUAUCGUUAUGGUUUCUGCAUAGGUACAUCUAUUCCUCCUAGUGCCUUGGACAUGCUUAGGUUUUGUGUAUAGAUGUAGUUAUUCUUCCUAGUCCUUGAUCAUGUGUGAUAUUUCAUAUUUUCUUUGUUUUACCAGGUAGUUGUAACUGUUUCCACUUUAUCGUUCUUUUGCCAUCGUCCAACUGUUAUUGCAAUCAUGGAAUUUAUGAAUGCCAUCAACCUUGCAAACGGGUCUGAUACUGAUAAAGAUAAAAACACAUAUCCUGCUACUGUAGAAGAUGGUACAAUUGAGGAAUCUAAGUCUGAUCUGGAACCAGAACCAACCAUAAAACGGUUACUGGCUAAAGGUAAAAGCAGAAUAGUUUUUCAUCUUACAUCCAGCAUGGCAGAGGCACAGAUAUUACUGAUGAAUGAGAAUGGCGAUCGGCUCGCUACUUUAUCACAAAAUAACCUCUCCACUGAUAUAAAGGUAAUGUGAUCAUCUCUAGUUUGUGUGGUCUAUUUUGGCUUGAUUUGUUUAAUGCCCUGAAUGGGUCUGACUAUCUUUGUGAAUUACUCAAGGUGUUCACAUCGUCAUUCAGCAUAAAGGCUGCACUCGGAAAUCUUAAAAUAAGUGAUGAUAGCCUUCUUAGCAGCCACCCUUAUUUUUGGGUUUGUGAUAUGCGAAAUCCUGGAGGUCGUUCAUUUGUGGAGGUAUUCCAUGUUGUUUGAAUUUACUUGCUUAAUGUAGGUCAUAAUUUGUUAUGCUUUUGUCGGUUCUAGAAAAGAAACCUUUUAUGAAUCACAGAAGAAUAAUCAAUUUCGAAAUCAUUGUGCAGAUUGACUUUAGUUCAUACAAUGUUGGUGAUGAAGACUAUUGUGGUUAUGACUAUAGCCUUGUAGGGCAGCUUUCAGAAGUUAGAAUUGUUUACCUGAACCGUUUUGUUCAAGAGGUAUGAUGUUUCCAGCUUAUAUAGUUUCUUAAUCCUGCAAAUGGUUUAAUCUUUCUCUCUCCCUCCCUUCUUCUCUUGGUGUGUGUAGAUUAUCAGCUAUUUUAUGGGACUUGUCCCAAAAAGUUCUGACUCCAUUGUAAAGCUGAAAGAUGAGGAGACUAACUCAGAGAAGUGGGUUAGCAAAACUGAUAUGGAAGGAUCACCUGCUCUCAAAUUGGAUAUUUCAUUCAGCAGGCCUAUAAUUGUUAUGCCCCGUGAAACUGAUAGUAAUGAGUAAGGAUGCUUUUGUGUCUCUGAAUAUGGUUUGUUCAUGUACUUGUAUCAUGUCUUGAGGACGAUCACUUCGCUUUGCAGCUUUUUGGAGCUUGAUGUUCUAUACAUUACAGUCCAAAAUGAAUUCCAGUGGAUAGGUGGUGAUAAGAAUGAGAUGAGCGCUGUUCACUUAGACAUUUUAACAGUUACAGUAAGUUCACUUUGUCAGCAUGUUGUCUUUUUAAUUGGGAAACCUGCUAAAUCAUAUUUAUUUAUUAUAAGAAUAAAUGGGGAUUAACUUGGAUACUGGGAAAUAGUCUCCAUCAUCAUAUCAUUAGAUGAUCUUGUUCAAAUGGUCUACAUCUUGGAGGAGCUGCUCCAUGUAACUUACUCCCUCCGUCCUUGAUUUAGAGGCGUACUAGAGUUUUUCACUAGAUUAGUGCAGUUUGUUUUGAACAAAUCUAGGCCAUUAUGAUCUUAUUUGCUGAACACAAGAUAGCAAAUCUUCAUAAUGCAAAGUAGUGACAGGCUUUUGACUGCAGCUUAUAAUAGGCAUGACUUGGGCUUGCAGGAAAUCUAAGCCAAGUUUGUACCAUGUUGAACUUGUAUGAUUUAGUAGGGAAACAAAUGCUUUUGCACAUUUUAUUCCUCAUUACAGUGUCUUGUUACCUUGCUUAGAAUCAUUCUUACAGCAUGAUUAUACUUUCCUUUGUAGGUACGGGACAUAAAUUUAGUUAUUGGUAUGAAUAUGGUACGUGGUGAAACCAUAAUUCAAGAUGUGGAAGGUCUCUCCUUUGAACUUCGUAGAUCAUUGCGUGAUCUGAGACAUCAGUUGCCAGCAGUGGAGGCAGCAAUUAAGGUAGCACAUUUUUCUGUGAAUGCAUUUUGAUUGAAGGUCCCUGGUUAGAUUAUUUACUUUUCUUGUAGCAGCAUUGAGAUACUCAUUUAUUUUAUCUCAUAGGUGGAUGUUUUGAAAGCAGCACUAUCCAAUCGAGAAUAUGAAAUUAUAUCUGAAUGUGCAUUGUCUAACUUCUCUGAGACACCACAUCCUGUGCCUACUCUGGAUGAUCCUCGAUAUGGCACUUCCACUACUCCAUCCCAUGUAUCAGCAUCUUCAGAAAGUAUUCAUGACUUGUCCAAAGAUGUGGAAACAUGGAUAACUAAUAAAUUUUCUGUCUCAAUAAAUCUAGUUGAGCUUUCUCUGCAUUCAGGAUCGACAAGAGAUUCUCCUCUGGCGAGCGUUCAGGUACUCAAUUUUUGUGCAGAAAAAUGCUUUGGAACUGCAUUGUCUACUCCAUUUACUUUUCAGAGCUUUUCCUUCCCCUUGCAUGGGCUUUUUGCAGAAUCGUAAUUAUGAUCAUGCUGAGAGCUUGUCUGAACACAAGUUUGUACAGUAACAUAUCAUAAUUAUGAUCCUCCAAACUGCUUAGAUCCACUCACACACUGGGUGGACGAGAGUCUCACCAACUCACUUAUCUUUCAUGCUCGCUUUGUGUAAUAGGGUUAACCCGUGUUGGUCACAUGGGGGCUGCUUUUGGUUCCAGCAGUGGCUUUGCCUCGCCUUGCUUCAUCGGCGUGAGCCAUGAGGAGCUUGCCUUAGCGAACAAGUGAGCCAAUUUGGCUCGCGAGGCAAAUCUUGCCUGCAUGGUCCCCGAGGUGUUCAGGCGAGGAAAUCAAACAUGUGUCCUGGCUUGUCAUCCUCGCUUGGCAAUGCGUAACAGUGCCUAGCAAUAGAACCAAGUAGCCCCAUGCAUCCUGAACUAGCAAGGUUGGACUAAACACCCCGCAACUUCACAUGCAAAUACACAUGGACCACCAUGGGCCUAAUUUGAAUUGGGCCAGGACGUCACACAUACCACCUUUUUUUUGUAGAGUACGCAAACUGUGGUGAGAACAAUGUUGUCCAGCUCACUGGUACCAGGAAGUGUGUUUUUACACACAGACUACAGUUACCUUGUGAUGGGUUUGGAAGAAAACGUAAAAUUUAAACUAUGAUCUUGUACACCAAAAAAGUCACUAGCUUUUAGUUCAUUUGUCCGAAGUCCACAAGAAUGAGGUGUGUUUCAUUUUAGGACCAGUUUCUCACUAGACUGCAGAAAAACUUGAAAAUUUGAUAUCCCAGCCAGUCUUCCAAGAAGGGAAAUAGGUGGACUCUUAGUCCAAUGGAUGAAAAUUUGAACUACAUUUAGUUUAGUUGGAAUGGUUCAAGCGGGUUUGCGGGCUUGAAGAAAGUAUGGGUCAAUUAUCUGUAGCUGCUGCAUCUCAUCUACGUAAUAGUGAAUGCAAUUUAAAGGGCGACCUAGAGGGAUGUAAGUACUGAAGUACAUUCCCUUUGUUACGUACCUUCGGGAUCACAAAGUACAAUGACUCCAGAGGUGGAGUCGUACAUAUAUAGAGAGCCUCAGGGCUAUAUAUAGAUAGGGCCUAUAGAUAGGCCUAUUGACUAGAUCUUCAUCAUAUACUUAACACCCCCCUUCAAACUCAAGGUGGAAGCGGAGGAAUGGAAGCAUUGAGUUUGAUCAAGUGAAGUCGAUGCUGCUCUCGAGUUUGUGCUUUAGUGAAAAAGUCAGCCAAUUGCAACUCUGAAGGCACAUACUGGAGAGCAAUAGUUUUCUGUUGACAAUGAGACCGAGUAAAGAAAGCAUCCACACCAAUAUGCUUUGUAAGUUCAUGCUUCACAGGAUCAUUGGCAAUCUGUAUGGCCCCUGUAUUAUCACAGAGAAGAGGUGUGGCAACAUUACAAGAAACACCAAAAUCUGCCAACAACCAUCGCAGCCAUACUAUCUCUGCAGCAGUAGUAGCAAGGGCUCGAAGUUCAGCCUCUGUACUAGAACGAACGAGAUACAACUGCUUGUUUCUUGGACUUCCAUCCAAUGGGAGAAGAACCAAGAAAAAUACAGUAUCCUGUGAUGGAGCGUCGAUCAUUUGGGUCACUCGCCCAUGUGGAGUCCGAGUAAGCAUGAAGCUGAAGUGGACUGUCAUGUGCAUAGAAUAAACUCUGAGAUGAUGUUCCCCGUAAAUAUCGUAGCACACGAAGUAGAUGUCCAAAAUGAACAGAAGUUGGAGCACAAACAAACUGACACAAAAUAUGGACAGCAUGAGCAAUGUCUGGCCUGGUGACAGUAAGAUAAACAAGGCUGCCCACAAUAUGUCGAUAUCGAGAGGGAUCCUGAAGAGGUACCCCAUCAGUGAGAUGAAGCUGCAAGUGAAGAUCCAUAGGAGUAGCAGCAGUCCGGUCAUCAGUGAUGCCUGAAUGAGCAAUAAGAUCCUGUAUGUACUUAGACUAAGAAAGACGAUAUCCCUUAGUGGAUUGCUUGACCUCAAUGCCUAAGAAAUAACUGAGAGGACCCAAAUCCGACAUCUCAAAUUCAGCACUAAGUUGUUGCUUCACAUGGGAAAUAUGAUCCUCAUCAUCUCCCGUAAUCAACAUAUCAUCAACAUAGAGAAGAAGCAACGUAUGAUCAUGCGGUGAUAAAUGAACAAAUAGAGUCGGAUCAUGAUCACUAGCUGAGAAGCCAGCAGCCCGUAUCACUGAGACCAAACGCUCAUGCCAAGCACGAGGAGCCUGUUUAAGACCAAUAGACCAAAUAAAGCACGAUGAAGACGACAGACAUAUCCUGGGGGAGCAACAACUCAUGGGGGUGGCUGCAUAUAAACUUCUUUAGUCAAAUCACCAUUAAGAAAGGCAUUCUUGACAUCCAUUUGAGAUAUGGACCAGGAAGAAGCUGAAGCAACUGCAAUCAAUGUACGGACUGUCGUCAUAUGAGCAACAGGUGCAAAAGUCUCAUCAUAAUCUAGACCCUGAGUCUUAGCAACAAGACGGGCCUUAUAUCUCUCUAUAGAGCCAUCUGACUUGGUCUUAACUUUGAAUACCCACUUAGAUGUAAUAGGUACUGUGUGCGAUGGUAGUGGAACAAGAUCCCAAGUGGCUUGACGAUCAAGGGCAGCAAGUUCCUCAGACAUAGCUAGCUGCCAUUCUGGAAUUUGAGAGGCUUCCUUAUAAGUGGAUGGCUCAUCAACAAUAGCAUGCACUUGGGGAAAACCAUACUUCUCUUCAGGAUGAAUGGUACUGUGGUCUCGGAGAUUAUACCGUGGAGCAACCUAUAACUCAUCAACAUGUGAGUCAUCAGUGUUAUUAUUAGAAGCAUCUGCAGCGGGCUCAUCAGGACUAGCCAUGGUGGAGGGAGAACUAGGUGGAAGCUGGGAGGAACGACGGUUGUAGACACGUGUAAUAGGUGGUUUUGAAAAAGAAUGUGAUGGAGGUGAGGAUGUUGUAGGAGGUAAAGGUGGUGUGAUGGAAAUACGUGGAUCAGAUGGGGCGGAAGCAUCAUCUGUGGAUGAGUUUGGAGGAAGGCUCAAAAAGGAGGUGGACUCUAAGGGAGAAUAUGAAGGCUUAGUGGAAGGGUUAUAAAAGAAAGAAUGGUCCUCAACAAAAGUAACAUCACGAGAGAUGCGUAUGCGACGGGAAGAAGGAUCAUAGCAUCAUAGCCCUUAUGCUCUGGACUAUAUCCCAGAAAAACACACUCAACAGAUUGUGCAGUCAAUUUUGUGUGCUCACGAGGGGCAAGCAAAACAUAGCAUGUGCAUCCAAAAAUGCGAAGAUGGUCAUAUUUUGGAGGGGUACCAUAAAGUACUUCACCAGGGCAUCGAUUAGACAACUUGGAUGAUGGUUGCCUAUUGAUGAGAUAAACAACAGUGGAAACAGCUUCACCCCAAAAAUGAGAAGGAACAAAGGAUGAAAUCAAAAGGGUGCGAGUUGUCUCUAUGAGAUGGCGAUGUUUGCGUUCAGCAACACCAUUCUGAGCAUGAGCACCUGGACAAGAAAGUUGUGCACGAGUACCCUCAGAGGAUAAAAAGUGGUGAAAAGCAGAGUCUGAGCGAAGAAUUUUAAUAGGAGCAGAAAAUUGUGUGAACCAUUCGAGCAAAAGACUGAUCAAUGGAACACAACUUUGAACAAUGUUUCAUAAAAUAUAUCCAUGUAUAGCGAGAAAAAUCAUCAAUAAAAAUGACAUAAUAUUUGUGACCACCCUUUGUAGCAAAAGGUGCAGGACCCCAUACAUCUGAAUGAAUAAGAUCAAAAGGUCUAGCGGAUUGAGAAACACUAGAAGAAUAAGGAAGUUGUAUUUGUUUGCCAAGUUUACAACCCUUACAAUGAAAACUAGACUCAAUAGAUGUAUGACCUAAACAACCUUUAUUUAUCAUGAAGGACAAACAAGACCCACAAAGAUGACCAAGAUGAUUAUGCCACUGGGCGAAGGAGGCAGAGGACGAUGCAACGGAUGAGGCAUGAGCUAUAGAUGCAACAGACGAAGGAAGACGUAGGGUGUCUAGAACAUAGAGGCUAGAGGCACCUUUACGGCGAUGGCCAGUCCCAAUCACUUCCCGCUGCGACGGUCCUGAAUAAAACAAGAUGAGUCAUCAAAACCAACGAAACAAUUGUGGUCAGUAACUUGACCAACCGACAGAAGAUUCAUAGACAACCAGGCGGACGGAGCAGAUGACGAACGGAAGCCCCACGGGCAGGCGGACAGAGAAGAUGACGAACAGAAGUCCCGCGACGGACGAGCCGCGCAGAGUCGCGCGGAAGACCCGCGGCGGACGAGUCUCGCACAGAGUCGCGCGGAAGACCCGUGACGGAUGAGUCGCGCACCGCGAGAUCGUGACCGCGACAGAUGAGUCUCCGCGACGGACGAGUCGCGCACCGCGACAGGAGUGACGAUCCCUGCGAUCACGAUCUCUACGCGCGUGAAGAGGACUCGGGCGGACAGGUCUCGCCGUGCGUGAAGAAGCCUCGGGGUGAGACGGCAAAGGGCCGCCCACGCGGGAAGACAGGCGACGAGGGGGCACGACGACGGGCCACGCGAAGAAAGUAGGAUCCCAAGGAGAAAGAACUGGAUCGUGGGUCAGACUAAUCUAAUCCUAACCCUAAUCCCAUAGCUUUGAUACCAUGUUACGUACCUUCAGGAUCACAAAGUACAAUGACUCCAGAGGUGGAGUCGUACAUAUAUAGAGAGCCUCAGGGCUAUAUAUAGAUAGGGCCUAUAGAUAGGUCUAUUGACUAGAUCUUCAUCAUAUACUUAACACCCUUAACUUGGGACAGAAUAUAAUAUGAUGUGAAUUGGUACUACUUGAGAAUGAGGUAACAUUUUUAUGCUGUUUUCAUGUUUGUUUCAGUAUUCUUUGGUGUCCUAUUUGCUGAGUGUAGGUCAGAUUCAAAGUACAGAUUUUUUUCCUUUUGGGAUUUCUUUCAUAUGAGAAUAUAGCUCUUUGUUGGAGAUAGUUUUACAUCACCGUUAAAUCUUCUCUAUGCAGGCGAGUGGUGCAUGGCUUCUCUAUAAAUCAAACACACGGGAAGAGAAUUUUCUGUAUGCUACUCUCAAAGGAUUUUCUGUUUUUGAUGACCGUGAAGGAACAAAAGAUGAGUUAAGGCUUGCCAUUGGGAAAUCAGCAUCUGUUCGGGACACGUCAUCUGUUGAUGGCUAUGAUAAUCCUAACGAACUUGAUUCAGGUGAACGAAGAAUACAAAAAGAUCUAGGCCUUGAGCCAAUCCCCUCGAUGCUUAUUCUUGAUGCCAUCUUCAGAAGAUCUUCGUCUUCUGUCUCUGUAUGUGUUCAGCGGCCCAAGUUUCUUGUGGCACUUGACUUCUUACUAGCAGUAAUCGAAUUCUUUGUGCCAUCUGCUCGGAGUCUUUUAUCCAAUGAUGAAGACAAGGACCUUCUACAUAUGAUCACCCCAGUAGUAUUGGAUGAUCAGAUUUAUUAUCAGGAGCAUUCAACAUUUAGUCUUUCACCUCAGAAGCCCUUAAUUGUUGAUAAUGAGAGAUUUGAUCACUUCAUAUAUGAUGGGAAGGGUGGAAAAUUAUAUUUGCUGGAUAGAGAGGGGAAAAUUAUCUCAAGCCCUUCUGCUGAGAGUUUCAUUCAUGUGCUGGGGUGUAAGAGGUUGCAAUUUCGGAAUGUCACUAUAGUGGUAAUAUUCAGCGUUUCAGUCUCCAUUAUUCUCACUUUUUACUGACCACACCUAUAUGGCCUUUUGGUCUUUUGACAAUGUGAUACCCUGCCGCAGAAUGGUGAAUAUUUGGACUCUUGUAUCUCUCUUGGUGAUGAUAGCUGUUAUUCAGCCUCAGAGAAUGAUCAUGUCUAUUUAGCUAGAGAAGAUGAUGGGCCCUUGUCGACUCCCAGCAAGGAAAUUGCAGGAGACACUGUUAAAAAUGGAAGUGCUGAUAUAUCGACCGAAUUCAUUAUGGAACUACAGGUAUUCCUUUAAACUUCUAGCUAUUGUUGAGACACAUUUAAUUCAUCACCGUGUUAAGCACAUAGUUUUCAUCUUCUACUGCAUCGUGAUACCAUAUUCUGUGUAAGCUACCAAUGUGACUUAUUCAAACAAGCUCAUGAAAGCUAGUAACCCUGGAGAUUCAUGAUAGUUCAGGAAUCUCUCCAACUUUUGCUUUUCAUUUUGAAUAUAAUUGUUGAAAUGUCAGCACAUUUCCCACCUUCCAUUAUAAGCUUAAGAUUUUGCAUGAAUUGAUAGCACAUCUUAGGUGUAUGGGAGCUGAGACAUAGCAGGGGGUGUUUAAGAGUUUGUUGCCCAAGUGCCUAAGUUUCCUCAUAAACUUAAGCUUUUGGAUCAUUUGGCCGGUCUAGACAGCUUAACAGUAGCAUUCCUAUGUCUGCAAGGUUUCCCAAAACUUCACCAGCUGGGUUCACUGGUAACUAAUGCUGGUUUUAUCCAGCAGGUUACAACUUACAAACUGUGAAGUCACUCCCAUUAUGUGACUUUUGGAACUGCUGCACGCAUGAUCGCCAUUUUGUAAUUCUAUGGUUGAACUGCAUUGCAUGAUUGUUUCAGGCUAUUGGACCAGAGCUUACUUUCUAUAGUACAUCAAGGAAUGCCGGUGAAAACUUAGCGCUAUCAACAAAGGUUAUUCAUGCCCGCACAGAUGCAUUUUGCAGGUUUGGUAUUCUACUGCCCUUUGGCUGAAUGUAGUUUUCGAUUGAUGCAUUGCUUACAUUAGUACAUGUAGCAGAUAUCUAAAGUGCUUUAUGCAUCACUCUCUUUUUCUUCCCUUACUGUACUUCAUGGGUUAAUUAGAUGUUGAUUUUUUUUGAAAAGAAAACUGCUAUUAUAAAGUUGCCAUUAAUUCUCUUCCUGGAUGUCUGGAGCUGAUGAUACAAAGCUACCAUGGGGAGCAGAUUUAUGCUUUUUUUUACAUUUGUUUCUCUUUAGUUUACAUUAUGACUGCACAGUUACAUAUUGGAUAAUUGAUAUGCUAAACAAAGAAGUUAAAUUUGUCAAAGUAUUUCAUGACUAUGAAAUUUACAGAUGUGAUACUACCGCUGAUAGGACUAGAAGCGCUACCGGAGUUGGUGUGUAAGCUGUAGGGGUGGAAGACUGGAGGCCGAGGUCUGAAACCUCGGUGGCGGCGCGAGGGCGCCGUGCUGUAGGCGUGAGCAGCUAGGGCAAGAGGCGGCUAGGGUUUCUCCCGGCUCCCUAAGAAGCUGGAAACAAUAAUAUGUUUCUGCUUAAUACUCUCAAUAGUCUCUCUCUCAAUAACAAUAUGGAAACAAACUAAUAAUAUCUAUAAAUAGGAUAAAUAUGGGCCUUAAGCCCCCUUAGGCUGCCGACAUCCCCUAGCCACUGCUGGGCCGUCCUCGAGUAUAAUGGAUGCCGGUCAUAACAUCUCUCCCCGCCUGCGCAAACAGCUCGUCCUCGAGCUGGAAGUCGGGGUAGAAGGUGCAGAACUCGUCAACGAUCUCCCAAGUCGCGUCGUCUUCAGGAAAGCCUUGCCACUAGAUGAGUACUUGCCAGACGCCUCGACGUUGAUGCGCACGGAGCACCUUAGCAGGAGCCGGCAGCCGACCGUCCAGGGUCGGAGCGAGAGCGCCUGGGGCAGCCGGUGGAUCUCCGCGGUGGCGCUUAAGCAACCCCACGUGGUACACAUCAUGAAGACGGGCACCCUCUGGAAGCUGAAGACGAUACGCCAUGCUACCGAUGUGUUCCAGGACACGGAACGACCUGGCAUAGCGAGGGCCAAGUUUGCCCUUGGCGCCUGGCCAUAGAGAGUGGGCUGUGCGGUUGAGCAGCCGCAACCAGACCCAGUCGCCCGUCUAGAACUGUACCUCGCGAUGUCCUGCGUCAUAGUAUUUCUUGGACAACCGCUGAGCUUGCAAAAGACGUUGCCGAACCUCAGCGAGGACCUCGUCUCGAGAGGAAGAAGAGCAUCCAUGGCCUCUGUACGUGUUGUUCCGGGUGCGUAGGGCAGCAUUGGCGGGGGAGGGCGACCGUAGACGACCUCGAACAGGGUGGCACGAAGAGCUGUGUGGAAAGAUGUGUUGUAACAGUAUUCCGCCCACGACAGCCAAUCCACCCAGGCGCGAGGUCGAUCCCCCGUGACACAGCGCAAGUACAUAGCGAUGACCUUGUUGACCACCUCGGACUGGCCAUCUGUCUGCGGGUGAAAUGCUGUGUACUCAUGUGCAGUUUAACGCCCCCCAUCUUGAAGAGAUCCCGCCACACAUGUCCAGUAAACACGGGUCCUGGUCGCUGACGAUGGAUAGCGGAAACCCAUGGAGGCGGACGAUACCGUUGAAGGCGCGAGCGACGGAUGUGGCGGUGUAGGGGUGGCCGAGCGCGAUGAGAUGGGCAUAUUUGGAGAAGCGAUCCACUGAGGAUGACCGAUUUGCCCGCGACCUUGGGCAGCCCCUCAAUGAAGUCCAUCGAGAUAUCCGGCCACACUUGGGUGGGGACAUUGAGGGGUUGGAGCAGCCCGGCUGGCUGCACCGUCUCCGUCUUGUUGCGCUGGCACGUGGUGCAAGAGCGCACCAAGUCCUGGACUAGCGUGCGGCCCCGCGGAAUGUAGAAGCCGGCACGAAGUCUGUGGAGCGUCUUCUUAAUACCCUCAUGACCAGCCGAGUGCGCCAAGAGGAGCACUUGUUGCUGCAAGUCACCAUGGUCCGGCACGAAGACGCGGGAGCCAUGGAGCAGGAGGCCGUCAUAGAGGCGCCAAGGGGCGCUCAGCUCGCCCGCCUGAAGUUGCUCUAGCAGCUUGCGGCCAUCCGGGGUGUCAGCCGUGGCGCGGCGGACCUCGUCUAGAAGGGCGAACGUCGGUCCGGACAGGGCCAGAGCCACCGAAGGGCCCGCAGCCACCACGUUGACGUCGCGGCGUGAGAGAGCGUCAGCCACGGUGUUGAGACGGCCCGGACGGUAUUCCACCGAGAAGUCGAAACCGAGGAGUUUGCUGAUCCAUUGAUGCUGCGGCACGGUGGACAAACGCUGGUCAAGCAAAAAUUUCAAACUAUAAUUGUCAGUGCGGACCAGAAAUGGGCGCCCCCACAAGUAUGGACGCCAAUGUCGCACUGCCCUGCACCAGCCCGAUCAGCUCGCGUUCAUAGGCGGCCAGCUUGAGAUGACGAGCAGCGAACGUCCGACUGAAGUAGGCGAGGGGUUCGGCGCCCUGGUGAAGGAUAGCACCGAACCCUGCGCCUGACGCGUUGCAGUCGACCACGAAGGUGGCGUCGAAGUCCGGCAUCUGUAGAACUGGUCCCGUGGUCAAGGUGCGCUUGAGCGCCUCUAACGCAGCUGUCGGGUCUAACGCAGCUGUCGUGGUCAAGGUGCGCUUGAGCGCCUCUAACCGAACCCUGCGCCUCUAACGCAGCUGUCGCGUCGUCGUCCCAUGCGAACGCGUCUCGCCGCAAGAGACGCGUUAGUGGGGCAGCGAUGAUGCCGUAGUCCCAAAUAAACUUCCUGUAGUAGCCGGGCAGCCCCAGAAAGCCGCGGGGCCCCUGGCGGAGCGCGGAAGUGGCCACGCAGCCACGGCGGCGACCUUGUUGGCGUCCAUGGCGACACCGCCCUCGGAGAUCACAUGGCCUAGGUAGGCCACUGACGGUGCCCCGAAAGAGCACUUGGAGCGCUUGAGAUGAAGGCGAUGUGCGCACAAGGCGUUGAGGACAAUGUUGACAUGCUGCAAGUGUUCGGCCCACGACGAGCUGUAAAUUAGUAUAUCAUCGAAGAAUACCAACACGAACCUCCGAAGGUAGGGGCGGAGCACAUCGUUCAUCAGGGCCUGAAAUGUCACCGGGGCAUUGGAGAGUCCAAACGGCAUCACCAAAAACUCAAAAUGGCCAUGAUGCGUGUGGAAGGCCAUCUUGGCGAUGUCGUCCGGGUGCAUGCGCACCUGAUGGUACCCGGAACGGAGAUCGAGCUUGGUGAAGAAGCGAGCCCCGUGGAGCUCAUCCAGCAACUCGUCAACCACUGGGAUCGGAAAUUUGUCCUUGGAGGUCUUGGCGUUGAGGGCGCGGUAGUAAAUAAACUAAUAAUAUCUAUAAAUAGGAUAAAUAUGGGCCUUAAGCCCCCUUAGGUUGCCGACAUCCCCUAGCCACUGCUGGGCCGUCGUCGAGUAUAAUGGAUGCCGGUCAUAACAACCGCUGUUAGUACGUAUUGAUAUACCAUCUACAAGACGGGAUGAACUAUGCUGUUCAAAGUCAGAUUGCUUAUUGCUGUCAUGUCGCUUCAUUUUCCUUUUUAUAUUUACUUCAUAUUCCCAUCUGAUGUGGCAAAUUGAUUGGGCACUGGAUACAAGAACAGCAGAUAGAUCAGCUAACUCGCCCUCACUCCAGAGGCUUUGAACUACUUCUUAGAUCUAUCUCUGCUUGCCUUCCCUAGCUACCUAGAAUGUCUUUAUAGACCAGGCAAUCCAAGUAACUAAUUAAUCUUAUCUGCUAAUAAACCUGAACAAAAACUGUGAACUAAUCCUAGGCUACUGAUGCAGCACAUCCAGUGCCAGAACCAACAGUUCUAAGAUGAUGUGGUAAGUUGAUUGGGCACUGGAUACAAGAACAGCAGAUAUAGAUUGGCUAACUUGCCCUCCCUCCAGAGGCUCUGAAUUGCUUGUUAGUUCUAUUUCUGCUGACUUCCCUGGCUAUGGCUAUCUAUGGAUGGUUUUAUAGACCAGGCACCCAAUAAACUUCCUAACAAAUCUUAUCCAAGUAACCAGUGAGUCUUACCUACUAACAAACCUGAACAAACUGUGAACUCAUUGUAGUAUGCUGAUGCAGCACGUCCAGGGCCAGAACUGUCCUACUCGCCAUAACACCAUCCAACAAGGAAUUCACACAAUCACCUGAUCCAAGAAACUUAUUGAAGCACACCAUUUCUUUUAGUGGGAGAAAAAGUUUGCCAACAUGUGCCUCACACAUUAAACAAUUGUCUUUAUGUUCUCUGUAUGUUGGGGAUUGAUCCCUUUUUGUGUGGCAGGCUUAUAAUGAAAGGUGACAGUAUGGAGAUGAAUGGAAACAUACUUGGUUUAAAGAUGGAGAGUAAUGGCAUCAGAGUUAUAGAACCAUUUGACAUGGCUGUGAAAUAUUCAAAUGCAUCUGGAAAGACAAAUUUGCAUCUGCUGGUUUCUGAAAUAUAUAUGAAUUUUUCCUUUAGUAUUCUCAGACUGUUUUUAGCAGUUGAGGAAGAAAUUUCAGCAUUUCUCAGGAUGUCAUCUAAGAAAAUUUCACUGGUGUGCUACCAGUUUGACAAAGUUGCAACUAUGCAAGGUACAGGAUGACUUGUACUUCCCGGGUGGGAAAUAUAUGCCCAUCUAGGUUUUCCUAAGUCAAAUCUUUUUACAUUUUGACUAUAAAUGUCCAAACUUUUAUAUCAGUUGACAACAUAAGAUUAUACUUUCAUUGUGAAAUAUACUUUCAUAAUACAUGCUCCUCCGGUUCCCUAAAGCAAGUCAUUUUGGACAUCAACACGGUCUCAAAAAACAACUUUGACUGCUACUUUUUGCUAUAAAAUAUUAUAAAAUAUAGGUCCAUAUAUAUCUUUAUGAAACUACAUUUCGAGAUGAAUCUACUUACAUCACUUUCAUAUUUUCAAACUCAAGCCAAAAAAAUUCAUCUGUAGUCAAAGUUUAAAAUGUUUGACUUAAUACAACCUCAAAACGACUUGCUUUAGGGAACCGGAGGGAGUAACUCUUUAUGCAUAAGCUAAAUUGCUAAUAUAUUUUUAUGGAUAUGGUUAGUCAAUGUGUGACCUUGUAGACCCUGUCGUGUCCUAAUGGGCUUAUAAUUCUGAUAAGAGUUAUGUUGGUGUAUACUGAGAGUCCUAUUUUGUAAGCUGCAUUCAUUUUUUUUUUGUUGACUUGUUUUAGGCAAUGCAAAUAAUCAAGUGUUAUCUUUCUGGCGACCACGUGCUCCAUCUGGAUACGCCAUUUUUGGCGAUUAUCUCACACCAAUGUUUGUGACUACUACUUCAUGCUCUAAUUUCUUCUUAUGUUGGUAUGUUGGUGGAAGGAUUUUGUUAGCAUUUAAUCUCUCUCUUUUUUCAUGUUAGGAAUGAGCCUCCUUCUAAAGGAGCCCUUGCCCUGAACACAAACAUUGUUAAGGUCAAAAGGCCUUUAUCAUACAAGCUAGUGUGGCAAUCUGGUUCUCCAAAAACAAACGUUUUUAAUCAGAAUGAGGACUCGGAGAAUAAGAUAUCUAUUGCUGACCAGCUCUGCUCUGUUUGGUUACCUGUGGCACCUGUGGGUUACGUUGCAAUGGGUUGUGUUGUUUCAUCUGGGACUGCUGAACCACCUUUGUCUUCAGUUUUCUGUUUAACUGCUUCCUUGGUUUCAUCGUGUAAUCUAAGGGAUUGCAUUGCACUAAGGUCAAAUAUAUAUUACCUGAACUUGUUUCUGUAUUUGUUGUAUGGCUGUAGAUAUUUCACACUCAUACAUUAUGUACUCUAACUGCAUUCUUCAGGGAUAAUGCUAACAUGAUCUUCUGGCGAAUUGAUAAUGCUUUUGGUUCCUUUGUACCUGGAGAUCCUGCAAGCAUGAGUGUGCAUGGCAAUGCUUAUGAUCUUCGACAUAUGCUGUUCGACAGUGCAGACUCAUCUUCUAAGACUAUCUCAAGAAGGCAAGAUAGUAGAAAUGAUUCCUCUCAACUAGAGAGAACAGAAUUAACCUCGGGUCGGCUAUUUGACGCGGUGGCAAGCUUUAAACUAAUUUGGUCAAAUAGUGCGACCUCUUCACCAAAAAAGCUCUCAAUAUGGCGUCCAAUGUUGUCUGAAGGAAUGUUUUACUUUGGUGACAUAGCUGUUAACGGGUACCAUUUAUGUGAUUACUGUUUGUCAUUUAAAGACCAAGCUUUGUUUGCGAUUGAAAACUUAAUAUUUAACUUUCAAUUGUAGGUAUGAACCACCAAAUUCAACUGUUGUCCUUCGUGAUACUGGCGAAGACACUUUUCUCAGAGCUCCUGAAGGUUUUGACCUUGUUGGUCAAAUUAAGAAGCAACGAGGCACUGAGGGUGUAUCAUUUUGGUUUCCUAAAGCUCCUUCAGGUUUUGUGGCAUUAGGAUGUGUUGCAUCUAAAAGUUCUCCAACGAAAGAGGAGUUCAGUUUGUUAAGAUGUAUUAGAAGUGACAUGGUGGCUGGAGGUCAAUUUUCUGAGGAAGGUGUAUGGGAUUCAUCCAAUGCUAGAACAUCUGAAUCUUUUAGCUUAUGGACUGUUGAUAAUGAUGCUGGUACAUUUCUUGUGAGAAGUGGAUAUAGAAAACCUCCAAAGAGGUUUGCACUGAAGCUUGCGGGUCCACCUACAUCAAGCAGUUCAGAUAGCAUCAUUGUUGAUGCCGAAAUUAAAACAUUUUCUGCUGUUUCCUUUGAUGAUUAUGGUGGAAUGGUGAGCCAUAUCCUGUAGAUGGAUCUUUAUCUUGCAACUAUUAUUAACUUUUAAUAUCCCAAACGAUAGUUGGCUUGUGUCUUUAUUUCAAGUGAUCUAGCUCCUCUGAUGCAUGCUGAUAUAUGUUCUCAGAUUGUUUUUUGAAUUAUUCUGUGCAGAUGGUUCCAUUAUUUGGGCUGUCCUUUGACAGUGUUGGACUAAGUUAUCAUGGUGGUCCUCAUCAUCUCAAUGCAACUGUGAGCUUGUCAUUUGUGGCCAGAUCCUAUAAUGACAAGUAUAGCUCGUGGGAGCCCUUCAUUGAACCAACAGAUGCAUUUCUUAGGUAACUUCUCUAGGAACUAAAUCGCUUCUCCAAAUAACAGUUGGGGUGGACCCUACUGAAUAACUGUAUCAAUAUAUUAUAUAUAGAUAAAUAUGUACAAAGCAUAGGCAGAGCUAUGUGUCGGCCAAGGUGUGCUACCUCCCGUUGCCUCUACAAAAUUUCUUUGGUAUCUGUAUCUCAUCACAAUCCGAUAAUCCAUCAAUAGAAGCGGCAGCACUUGAACAUGAAGCUUUUUAGUACUAGCAGAAAGCCAUGAACCAACAUUACGACAUUUCACUUGCUGCGUACUACGGAUGAUUGUAUCCUCUAUGCCUGUUUUCCCCUUCUUCCUCAACCUCAAAUGAAGGGACGAGUGCAUGUAAGGGGAUUUUUCUUUGCCUGGCGCCUCCUUGCUAGAAUGCUAGCAUCUGAAACCACCAGCUGCUCUCUUCGUCAUGCAAGACAGGGAAACACAUCAACUCACAUGUUGCAUGUUCCAUUGUUGUUUUUCUUGAAUGGAAACUUGCAAUAAUUCUGAAGAACUAGAUAUUUAGGCAUGCGAGUGAGAGAAUCUGAAUGCUAUAACAUGUUAGUCUACUGAGAUCAUCUACUAAUUUUUGGUAGAGGACCUUUGGGUUGUUUUUUAGAUAAUGGAGGGUUUCCGGCUUCAGACAUCUUCUAAUGGAAAUGCAUCAAUCCACAAUUAUUGCAAAGAGAUAUCACGUCCCAACAAUGAAACAUGUGGCCAAGAAUAAGAACAAGCUAUAGGAAAGGAAUAAAUUCUAAAUCUUCAGACUGCAGCUUGAAUAAUGUCCUCUGAUGUACCAAAGAAAAACAACAAACUACAAAAAAGUAAAUUCAAAAUCUUCAAAUUGCAGCUUGAGUAAUCCUCCUUUCCACCGGAAUUCUUGUGUGUUUGAAGGAAUUUUGCCUAGUAUAGUAUCCAUGCACUCCUUCAGACCAUAGGAGAUGACAGAUGAGUGCAGUUUAUGGUGCAUGGCUGGAGCAUCAAAGCUCAGUGAAUUACUGUCAAGAUUGUUGGUCUAGAUUGUCUAAUUUCUAGAGCAGCUUGUUUGUUCAGGUCCUGUUCAUGUAUAGAACCGCCGCUAUCCUUCCCUUUUCGGUUUGGGUGGGUAUGUGGUGUUGGUUUUUCAGCUUGCUGGGCUUCUUCCUAUAUCCAGCUUGUCUUGGUAUUUCUCUAUCUUAAUCAAAUGACACUUGGAUCUCCUGCGCCGUUUAACAAAAAAGUAAUCCUCCUUUCGCUGCUUGUUCCCUAAUGUUGACAUGAGCCAAAUCCGACAUGGGGGAAGAGAAACUAUUCCAUUUGCUGCUUGAAACUCUGACCACGAUACCAAGACCAGUGAUAUAAGCAUCCUCACUUCCACCUAAAUAGGAAGUGGGAGUACGCUGGAUACCAAUUCUUGUUGAAGACUUUGAAUUAAGAAACCACAGCACAUGCACCAUUAACACCACCAAAGAAGUCCUCCAAAAUGAUGCCAACAAGGACACAGUUUAGUCGCCACCGCCACUUGCCUAGAACAGGCAAAGUUUUCACCAAGAGACCCGAUGAUGAUGUCGCCUCCAAGGAGGAUAACAACACCCAAAGGCGUUGUCACCAUCGAGGCUGGCACAGGGACCAGCAUGGCUUUCGCCAAUGCACACCAACCCACCACAACAAAGACCAGAAUCAAUGAAGCACGUCCAUACCACACCAUCGCCAAACACUGGGGACAUAACGCCCAUGCCACACCACCACACCACCGCCAUACUACGAGGCCCUAAGCGCCUGUUGCUACCAUGUCUUGCUCAACCAAGGUCACCGGAUUGCCGCCCAGCCAUGUCAAGGAUAGCUACAGUAUAGGGACAGGCCCUGUCGGGAAUGAGCACAUGGGAGAAGGUGCUGGCGACCACCGACGUAGGGGGGGAGGCCAGCCACGUCGUCACCACCACAACCGACACACUGGAUGGUGGAGGGAAGCACCACCACCGAGCCAACUGUCAAGAACCGCACCAUCCACCACUCAAUCCGGACGAAUCCCACCGUAGUGUGAAAGGCGCUCACACAGAUACGGCCGAAUACCAUGCCCAAUCUGUCACCGGAGUAGGAAAUGAGGACGGGAUGAGUAGAAAAAAAGGCAAGGGUGAGGGAGGAGGAUCGCCUGGCCACCGCCAUCCUUGCAGCCAGCUGGGCUUCCCGGCGGUGUACUUAAGUGGCAGCAAGGCAUAGGUGGCGCUGGGUAGGUAAGUGGCGACUGGCGAGGUGGCUGUGUCUAGCCCUCGAACCACAGCUGUAUUCAGAUUGAGCAUAAAGAGACAGGAUCCUAUUCUCGGGGUUGGUUUAUUCCUAUUUUUUGGUAGUAGUUAUAACUACUGUAGACAAAAAUCAGUAAUUUGGCUUCCCCUUCAGUUUGUGUCAUGCUCUGCCAACAAAGGUCUACAAGCCCAAUGAUACAAGGAUAAAUAUGACCUGAGAGGAUAGAGAGGCCUAUGACCGUGCACACAAAAAAGGUGUAACGUCCCGCCUCCACGAGGCCGGGUCCGCUUACAUCUGGUAGCUUUUCUAGGAUAUAGUCAGUUCCCACAGACCAACACUAGUCUUUUCUGCACACUUUGUCCUCACUCGUGCGCAUCCGGAAAGUACUUCGUGGUCGGUCACCCCCAUCCCUAAAUUUCUCUAGGCCAAGCACGCUUAACUUUAGAGUUCUUUGGAGAUGGGCUUCCAGAAAAGAAGUUGCAACUUGUUGGUAUAAGUCUCCUAUUAAUCCUAUUAAGCCCUGGGCCGGGUGUUACAAAAGGACAAUGUUCAUAAACUGAAAAUCUCAUGAGAAACAAACCAUUCUUGUCGGUGUCCUUCCCAAAAUACAAUAUCUAUCGUUUGCAGUUCUUGUCUUGGCUUCAAACCAUAGGUAAAUUGUGUGUGUGUAUACUUUCAUUAUUUGCUGUUAAAAAGCAUUAUUAAUAAGGUGUUGGGUCUAUGUAUGACUCCUUUUUUCUUCUACUAAUAUAAUGAUACGCAGCUCUCCUGCGUGUUCGAGAAAAAAAAAGCAUUAUUAAUAAGUAAUUGAUCUUGAUAAUUCACAAGGCCUUCAUUCACUUGCCUAUUAACCAUAUGCAACACCAUAUUAGUUACAGAAUAACAGAUUUUUGUAAAUUUUUAUUACAUGAUUUGGUACUCAUUGUGUUAUGGAUAUUAGGUACCAAUAUGACAUGAAUGCACCAGGUUCUCCUGGACAACUCCGUAUUACCUCAACUCGAGAUCUGAAUUUGAACAUAUCUGUUUCCAAUACAAACAUGUUAUCACAAGCUUAUGCUAGCUGGAACAAUAUUAGCUGUGGUGAUGAAUUGUACAGGAAGGUAUAUCAUUUCUCCUUUAAGCUUAUUGUUUAAUAAUUUUGUUAUCUGCCAAUCUGUUUACUCCUUAUAAAAAUAUGGAAAGUUAACCCGUAUUUACUUUGAAGUAUUCAGUUGAUGCUUAUGCCAUCAUUUGUCUUCUCUCUUGUUCUAUUAUCAGGAAACCUUUUGUUCUACUGAGCGACCAGUUCUUGAUGUUCAUCAAAGAAGAAGUUAUUAUGUUGUUCCACAAAAUAAACUUGGACAAGAUAUUUACAUAAGAACUGCUGAAAAUAGAAGUUCACUUGUUACUCUGCUGCCCUCUGGGGAUGAUAGGUCUAUAAAAGUUCCGGCUUUAAGGGAUCUAUUGGAUUCUCAUUUAAAUGGAAGAUCUGUUAAAUCAUAUCGGUUGAUGAUAACUGCCAUUCUUGCGGAUGCAGAGGUAGCUCUUUUAUUUUGCACUAAACUAUGUACUCUUUUACCUCCAUGUGCUUUCUCAGUGAUGAAGUGGCGGUCAACUUUUUUAUCACAGCUUGACUUUUUUGUUUGUUUUAACACGUCCUCACUUAACCUUUCAUUUAAAACCAGCACCAGAAAAUGCUAAGUGGUGGUGACAGAUAACCGGCUGAGCAUUGACUGCGAUCUGACCUAAAAACUCCAAAAUUACCUCAAUAGGAAGUCAGCAGCUUGGUUUUUUUUUUUUUGAGAGAAAAUACAGCAGGGGAGGCUCCCACUGUUUGCUUUAUUAAAACAAAAUAAAAAAAUAGAAGGACAACACUGUACAAAAGAAGUUGCACAAAGAAGAAAGCCCGAGGUGGGUUAAGGAGCUAAUCUAGGGAAGCUAUAUAGGAAAGAAAGACAGCACACUUAUCAUCGCUUAAGUCUAUGAGCUUGUAGUGUAGCUUCUUCAUAGAAGGAGCUUUUCCAAGAUCCAAAGGAUGGGCGACCUCUAUCGAAAAUAUAAUUAUUUCUUUGCUUCCAGAUUUGCCAAGCAGUGAGUCUCCAUGAAAAAGGGGUUCUGAUGUUGAAUCUUAGCUUGCUGCAUCAUUUGGAAAAAUUCCGUUGUUAGGUUCCAACUUAUUCCAAGAUGUUGCCAACAUGUUUGACUAAACGAGCAGCUGAAGAACAAAUGGAAUGCAGUUAUUUGUGACUUAUUGUUAAAGUGUUCCAUCCUAUCUUUUCCAAACACAAAUGGGAAUUAGAACAUUUACAUUCUAACUUAAUAGGGAGGGAUUAGCAUCUGAACGUAAUAUUGAAAUGUUCAAGCCCAUGUUUUACAUCCAAUUAGAAUAUCUUGUCUCUUCACUUGGGAUUUCUGGUUCAAUCUCCUGAGAAGCCUGGGGAAACAUCAUUUGAAGAUUGGUGGAAAAAAAAAUAUCUGCUGGUGCUCACGAUCAGAUUAAGAGGGGCCUCAACUCCCUCUCCACGUUAGGUGCUUGAACUUUAUGGAAUCAUCGCAAUAGGUGUGUGUUUGAUGGGGCAUCUCCAAGCUUAGCUAGAACUUUUCAUCUCACUAGCGAGGAGCUAUACUCUUGGUGCUGUCUGGGGUGCGAGGCAUCAACUACCUCCUGGCAAUUAUGCCAAGCGAGAUUUAAGUUUAGGUUGUGAUCAGUGAUCACUUUUUCUCUUGUACAAGGCGCGCAUGUCCUUUAUUAUCUGAAUGGUGUGGGUGUGUAUGCUUUUUGUAAGGGUUCCUAUCCAUUUUCCUUCUCUUAAUAUAUUGAUACCUGACUCUCCCAAGUGUUCGAGAAAAUGUUUUACAUCAAAUUCUGAACCUUGUACUGCAGUUAACUUGCCUGCUAAAUAAAUUGUUGUGAAGGACUUUUUUGGUCAUUCUAAACUUAGGUUUUCCAUCCCAGGUCAAGGAUGAUGAAGGAUUAGGAAGUGGUGAAUAUAUGACUGCUGUGCGGCUCUUUUCAGAAAACCAUUCCAUAUCUGUUGUUCAGCAACAGAGUGCCCGUACUUGUGCUGCUACUGGAGAACACUCGUCACAGAACACCAGAAAGGUGAACUGGAAUGAAAUGUUCUUUUUCAAAGUCGAACGCGUGGUAUGUAAACACAACACAUUCUGGAACACUUUUACUCUUGUUUUUUACAUUCAAAAAAACUCCUCUGAGUUUAGGUCUCCAUGACAAUUGUGCCGUGACUUUUCUGAGAGCCAUGUUUCCAUUUAACUAAUAUUUCAUUUUCUCUGCAAAUGUUUCAGGACAGUUAUACUCUGGAGCUUCUUGUGCUUGAUGCUAGUAAAGGUUCGUGAUUUCAGCGCAAAACAAAUGCCAUUAUUUUGUUUGUUUUCCGACACUAGUUUAUAGUUUAUGUUGAGAACAGGUCAACCAGUUGGUAUAUACUCUGCUCCAUUGGAGCAAGUUGUGCAAAAGCUCCCUCCUACCUCUAAUUCGGAUUGUGUCAAAUUUGAUUUGACUUUAGGAGACCUUAUCUCAACUAAGACAGUGGUGAGAACUCUUGGAGAACCAUAUAUCGAGUCACUUUUGUAGAAUAGAGUCCACGCACAGUGUGCUUAUGCGAAAUUUAUACUUACUAAUAUCUUAUAACGUUUAUCGACAUUUUUUUUGUAGGAGCACGAAACUAUUAAACCUAGUGGAAAAAUAAGAUUUGCGGUACUUGUUUCUGGUAGAGCUAGUGUACAACAAGGGAAUAGAGCCAGUCCUGAAAGAAACAAGACUGGAUAUAUUCAAAUUAGUCCUUCAAAAGAAGGGCCUUGGACAAGCAUGAAGUUAAACUAUGCUGUACCUGCAGCAUGUUGGAGGUUUGGCAAUUGUGUGAUUGCUAGUGAAGCAACAGUCAAGGAAGGCAACAGAUAUGUUAGCAUACGUUCCCUUGUGUCAGUUACUAAUACAACCAAUUUCAUUGUUGACUUGCGUCUAAAAGGAAGAAUUUCUCAAAAUGCACGAUCAGAUGAUCAGGGAGAUGGUUUUGAUAAAGAGGAUCAAAUCCAGAUUGGAAUGCUGGAGCCCCAUUCUACUGUUCCAGUUCCACUAUCAGGCCUCUCACAUCCUCUUGUGUCCUAUAUGUUGCAGCUGAGGCCAGCAAACCAUCAUGAUCAUGAAAAUUACUCUUGGAGUGAUGUCCAGGAGAGGCGCAGUCAAACUGAGUUUAGAAAGGAGGAAAUCCUAGAUAUAUGUGUAUCAGAUCUGUAUGAAUCAGAAAACUUGCUAUUCUGCUCACAGGUAGAUGGCACCUCCAGUUCUUGUCAUGGACUAUGGUUCUGCUUGAGUAUAGAAGCCAAGGAAAUAGGCAAAGAUGUUCACAUGGAUCCAAUAUAUGAUUGGUGCAUCAUUAUCAAGUCCCCGUUGUGUUUGACAUACUAUCUUCCCAUUUCUGCACAUUAUACUGUCAGUUCUAGCCACCUUGACAAUGAAGAUUCAAGUUGUUCCCUUGGUACCUUAAGUCCUGGUGAGGCUGUAAAGGUCCACAAUGUUGAUCCAAGAAACCCUUUGUACUUAUCCCUUGUUCCACAUGGAGGAUGGGAACUAAUGCAUGUACGGAUAAAAUUACUUACUUUUAUAGAUGUCUUGCUUUUCUAUUUUUUCUACAUACUAUUGAAAUGCUUUUCUGGUUCUAGGAGCCUGUUCUUAUAUCACAUCCUACCCAAGCACCUUCCAAAUUUAUCAAUCUAAGAAGCUCUUUAUCUGGAAGGUAACAAUGCAAACAUGAAAUUUUUUCCGGUGGAUAAAUGCCAUAACCUUUCACUAAUCAAGUUUCUUUAAUCCUGUUUGUCUUUCAUUCUUCUGUAGGGUUGUACAGAUUCUGCUUGAACAAAGCAGUGAUAAUGACUAUUUGAUGGCGAGGCUUAUCAGAAUAUAUGUUCCCUAUUGGAUAUCUUUUGCUAGAUUGCCUCCACUUACUCUGCGUCUUGUUGAUAUUUCUAGAAGGAAAGAGAAGAGGCGGCUUCUUGCACGUUCACAUUUGGAAAGGGCUGAGAAGCACCUCUAUGAUAUAAAACAUGAUGAAUUGGUUGAGGGAUACACUAUAGCGUCUGGAUUAAAUUUUAAGGGAUUAGGACUUCUAUCGUCUGUCGGUGGACAUGGAGGACGGUUUGGAUCUGUGAAAGAAUUGUCGCCUCUUGGUGAUAUGGUUAGUUUGGAUCUACUUCUUUUAUUCUUUUUCUUGUUUUGAACCACUACAACUAAAUGUUUUUUUCUAUAUUCAGGAUGGAGCAGUUGAUCUUUCUGCCUAUGAUGAUGAUGGAAAAUGUAUGCAUAUUCUUCUUUGUUCAAAGCCAUCCUCGUAUCAAGCUGUUCCAACAAAGGUAGCACAUCUUAAUCUACAACUUCAUAUAAAAGUGUCCAUCAGUUGACUUCAUGUCAUGACACAACAGGUUAUCCAUGUACGCCCGUAUAUAACAUUCACAAACAGGAUCGGACAAGACUUGUACUUAAAACUUAGUGUUGAAGAUGAGCCAAAGGUCCUACAUGCAUAUGACUGGAGGGUUUCCUUUAUGUACUCCGAGGGGACUACUGACAAACUGCAGGUACUACAACAUUCUCUGUGAAGGCACCAUUUUGGGUAAUUGUUUGCAUGAAUUGUUGAUGGAGCCGUUAUAAAAAGUAAAUGACCAUGUUAGUAUUUGCUUUUAUGAGGAUCUUUUAGUGCUCAAUUCUGUAAUGCUCCCUAAGUGCUCAGUUCUGUAGUGUCUAUUUAUGCAAGAGAUUGUCUUUUUUUCUCCAAUGAGUAGGGGAGAUGUGUAUCAUUGCAUUAAGAAGAAGAAAGGAUAGUACAAAACAUAAACAACAACACCACACCCACAUCCACAAAUAUAUCUUGGUUACAUUCACGCCCAUUACAGAAAACACACAACCAGACCUCAACAAAGUCAAGCCAUCUACCUGGUGACCACUUCUAAAUGUGCUAAUCCCUUAGCGUCAGCAAAGCACCAAAGAUUUGUCUCCUCAAGAGAAGUUCUAAUCACAAACUGAGUGUUAGGAUUGGCUCCAUUGAAAACACAGUUGUUACGAUGUUUCCACAACAUCCAAGCCCCCAAAAUAAUCAGCAAAUUCAAACCUUGCUUCACUUGCUCAGGGUCAGGGAACAAAGCGAUAACUCUCAUCCACCAAUCAAAGAAUCCCUUAUCACCAGGGGAUGGAGAGACGUCUGGUCAUCUGUAGCGGCAAAGAGUAGUGACCAAACUGUUCUAGAGAACACACAACUAGCCAAUCUAUGAUCAAUCUAAUCCUCCUGUUCACACAAGGGACAUUUCACCAGACGAGGUAGUCCUUUGUGAGCCAAUCUGUCCACUAUCCAACAUCUGUUAUGAGCAACCAAACAAAGGGGGAAAAACAUUUCUUUGGUGCCCAGGUCUUCUAAAUUAACUCCCAAGGUUCAAAUGUUGCUGAUCCAAUAAACAGUGAUUUCUAUGCAGAUUUAGAUGAGUACUGAUCAGAUUCAGUAAAGCACCACCUAUGAACAUCUGAUGCAUCUGGUUGUAGCUCCUCCUUUGGUAACUAAGUCCCACAAUUCCAAAUAUUCAACAAGCGGAGGAACGGUCAAAGCAUCCUGAAUGUCCUGAACCCAAAGAUCCUGACCCAGAGUUUCAUGCAAUGUACGUCUCUUUGCUCGCCUCUUGUUUACUAAGGCAGAAAGGUAAGGAGCAAGAUUAGCACUUUGUUGCCAGCUAUCUGUCCAAAAUAAAGUAUAUUUUCCAUUGCCCACAAGUGAAAUAAUUGUCACAGAGAAGAAAGUUUUCACAGAGUGAAGUCAUAUCUGGAAUUGAGCCCAAGGUUUAUGAGGCUGUGGUUUGGCCAUCCAGAGCCACCUUAGUCUCAACUCCCAACCAAUAUGUCUGAGAUCAUGUAGCCCAAGCCCUCCCCAUUGCCCACAAGUGAAAUAAUUGUCACAGAGAAGAAAGCUUUCACAGAGUGAAGUCAUAUCUGGAAUUGAGCCCAAGGUUUAUGAGGCUGUGGUUUGGCUAUCCAGAGCCACCUUAGUCUCAACUCCCAACCAAUAUGUCUGAGAUCAUGUAGCCCAAGCCCUCCCAGGUUGGGCAUACAAACUUUUGGCCAAGUGAUUAAGCAAUGUCCACCGUUGGUCACUCUUCUUCCCCUCCAAAGAAAAUUCCUACUGAUUUUUAUCAAUCUCUUUCAUGGCCAAUGGAGGGAGGUCCAUGGAAUACAAAAAUAGAUCACCAUUGAAGGCAACACAUGUUUAACCAGAACCAACCUGCCCUCUUUAUUCAUCGGACUCGCGGGUGAGAGAGGGAGGGAGAGGGGGAGGGGGUGCAGCAUCCCCCUCGCUCGCUGCCCAUUGUGUGAUCAAGAGAGUGAAACAAUUAAUGACCUUUUGGUAGCAUCUGUUUUCUCUUGGCAGUUUUGGUUUGGGUUGCUACAAAGGGUGGGGCUCCAUAACCUCCCCUCAACCAGGAAUCUUCCCUCGAUGGCUGGUGGUGUAAAAUUAAUGAGCAGGUGGAUGGGCAGAUUCGACAAGGUCUAAACUCUAUUUUAAUUUUCGGAGCUUGGACCAUUCAGAAACAUUGUAAUUGCUGUUUUUUAUGGAGCCUCAACAAAUCUUGAUAGCAUCACUGUUGGCCGUUGAGGAGAUGAGAUUAUGGGGCUUGGCAGGGGCUAAGGGCAUUGUUUUUUUUAAUGAACUGGCACAGUGCCUGUUUCUAUUAAUAAAGCAGAAAUUACAUGCAAGUAACCCUGGAAGGCUACCUACAGGAAAAAACAGAAAAAACAACACCAACAACGACAGCAACAACACGCGCCGCACAAAGCAUGGUGCCACAACUAAAUAGCAUCUCUUGCCACUGCAACAAUGCACCACUGCAAACAGAAGCCAACCAUCGAAACUGUAAGCCACCAACGCCAAAUUGUCUGCCGGACACCUGACAAGCCACUGCCACGCAGGACCAACGUCACCUCGACGAAGUUGCCCUCAAUCCACCUGUAGGUGGAUGUCUAAAACUCCAGUUGUGACUCCGUAUUGUUGGAGACUGAGAGAGACAGGCCACACCGCAAGAAGGUAGCCGUCACGUGGCCCUUCGCCAAAGUGUCGCUGCAGCACCACACCCAACCAACAGGAUGAUUCCACUAGAUCCAGAUCCCUCCGAUGUUGCAGUAGUCAGCAUGAAAACAGAACGCUCAGGGGCGUCGCCACAUCCGCUGUUGGACUCCAAAUCCCACUCUCGUCACCUCCAAUGACAACAUGCAGGGGUCUCACCACAUCUGCUGCUGGACUCCAUGCCAUAGAUCCAUUCUUGUAUUGCCAUCAAAUGGGGUGUGCAAUGCUGCUCCAUAACUCAAAGGUCUCUUCCAAAAGCCAAGUCAGUACUAAAAUCUUGACACAAGCACACAGCCCUUUCCCCCGCACUGCCAAGCCAAGAAAAUGCUUGUGCCGUCUUUCAGCGAUGUCGAACAACCCCGGUAAACCAGGGCUACCCGCCAGUCCACUGCAAGCCAAGUAGUCACACUAGUGUUGGCAAUGGGUAAAUCCCCAUCGGGUAUGAACUCCCCAGACCCAUCCCCGUGACAACAAUAUGACACCACGGGUAUCCCCAUAUACAGUGAUGGGUGGGAGAAUUUCUCCAGACCCAUACCCGGGUGGGUAAAUUAGACCCAGCGGGUCACCCAUACCCGCCAAACAUCAACAAUUCACAAGCACCAGUCACGUAGUAGCAAUUCACAAGCAUCGUCACAUAGCCAUUCACAAGCAUCGUCACAUAGCCACCCCACCAUAUACCUAGCAAAUAGCAACAUAAUAAUUUCUGCUGCAACCACUAGUCACAACACCAUAAUAGUUCAUUGUCCAUACAAAUCACGUAGUAGAGAGUAGUACUUUGCUAGCACUACAUAGGGUUUCAAUGUAUGGGCUGCCGGUGGACUGGUGGCUGGUGGGCUUCUUUAGUUUUAGGCUGGGUAUUUUUCACCCAUGGGUAAAUGGGUAUGGGGACUACUAGAACGUCCCCAUACCCGCGUACCCAACCAAUGGGUAAAGGGUUUGCUCCGUUUAUGUACCCAUGGGUACUGGUUUCACUCCAUAUUGAUACCCUAAUAGAGUAAAUACCCAUCGGGUCGCGGGUCGUGGGCCCCCAUUGACAUCUUUAAGUCACACGCCGUCGAUGCUGCAUGUGCCGUCUUCUUGACAAUGUUCAGCACCGCACCGGUCGCUGCAGUGCAGGUACAAUCACUGCGGUCCGCUGCUAACAGCCACCAGACAGCACGCGACAACUCUGUGGCCAUCUGCCCGGUUGUUGAUUGCCGAUGCUCACCACCGCUCGUGGGCGGCUAAAAUGCCGCCACCAUCUCCAAGAUACCGAAGCGCAGCCCUCACAUGAAGCCAAAUCUCUGUGCCUCCACGCCAGCUGCAGUCGACCCUGGCAGCACUUCAGCGCCACUGCUUCUCAUGGAGGGACUCUUCCAGGCCUCAAGCACACCGUUGAACCAUCUCUUGCACGACCACCACGCCAGCGCGUGAACACACAGUAGCACGGCCACCGCACCUGCCAUACGCCACCACGCACGGCCACAUCAUGUCAUCACCUUCGAGAUCGGGCCUAUGCUCGCAUCUCCGGUCAUCAAAGGCAGUCACUGCCCAGAUCUGAACUGGCGAGUUGCCGGUCGUCACGUGGCAAGUGCGCAGCAGCCACCGCGGAGACCAUUGUGUUCCUCCAGGCAGAUCUUGGAGUUCUGCACGGAGUUGAGCAGGCGCAAAUCUGGACCUGGGAAUGCCAGAGCUGGCGCCAUUGCUCCUCGGGCCAGGACGGAAGAGAGAGAAGUGAAUCCCCGCCACCACCCGCUCCAUCCUCACCAUGCUGCAACGUCUCCAUGCGCUGCGACACCUGCGUCGAUGCGCAUGUGCUGCACUGGCUGAUUCGCCUUGCUGUCGCCUUCAUCACGGGCACCGACCUUCCGGUGAGCCACUCUAGCGAUGGCAAGGAGACUAUGGAGGUGGGAGACCGCCACGUGGCGGCGGCGGAGAGCCCCUAAGCCGCCUUGCAGGGGCGACGUGGGGGGAGCGUUGUAUCCUGUUGAGAAUACAAUUGUCCUUUUUCUAAGGGCAUUGCUUACCUAGCUGCCUUGUCUCAUGGGAGAAGUUAAAGGUGUUUGUCCUCCUGGCCAUGGUAGUGUUAUGUGGUGUGCCAUGGGCAUAGCUAUCUGAGAGUUUUUCUUCUUAAUAUGAUACGCUGCUCUCCUGUGCGUUCAAGGAAAAAAGUCGGCCUUCCAACCAAGAAGUUGAUCCGCAAUGGGAUCAAUGAUUGGAUGGAAUUAUGCUCUGGUAAGCUUUGUGUUGACCAUUUAGUUCAGGCAUCUUGUGCCGGUUCUUUAUGCUCAAUGUGGUUUCUAUAUAUUGCACUGACUGGUCAACUUUUUUAAAAAUAAUGCAUUCAUGGUGUAAAAGUUUUUUUAGUUUUCAUUUGUUUUUACCUUGUAAAAGUUAUCUAUGUUGACAAAUUAGGGUGACAUGUGGAUGCAUCAUUACCUUGCAAAAGGAAUAAUUGAUGUGAUGUAAGGAUUUCUUUUGGAGCUAAAACAGUAAGGGAAGCCCCUACUGUGGUAAAAAAAUAUUUAUAUAAGAAAAGCAAAAGCAAAAAAGCAAACUGGUUUCUAUUGAGCUAUCACUUUGAGCUCUGCUCAUUUCGUUCAGUUUUACCUUUUGCUAGUUCAGUGAUUUGGACAAAUAUACUUGAAUUGCAAUUGCCUUGUGUCUUAUUUGAAGGUCCGACUGGUGGAUACAGAAUGGUGUCAACCUCUGGAGAUAGUAAAAGAAGAUACUAUUGUUAUAGCAAUGAGAAAGCAAGGUGGUACUCAGAAAUUUGUAAAAGCUGAGAUACGUGGCUAUGAGGAAGGUUCAAGGUUCUUGAUUGUAUUCCGCCUGGGGCCUGCAUAUGGACCAAUCAGGUAGUAUGAAAUGGUAAUGACAGCGUCUGGACAUUUGUUUCCCGUUUUUGUGAUUAUGACCAUUGUAUGAUUGUUUGUAGGAUUGAGAAUCGGACGAGUAGUACCACAAUCAGUACUCGUCAGUCUGGUUUAGGGGAGGAUAGUUGGAUCCAAGUGAAGCCACUUGCAACCAGAAAAUAUUCUUGGGAUGACCCAUAUGGACAGAAAGUUAUUGAUGUUAGCGUUGAUAAAGGCGAUGAUACUUGUGUUCUAUGUGUUGACCUGGAAAACCCUAUUGGAAGUUCCACUAGUUUUAGGGAACAUGGCCUCAUGUUUAGUAUUGAGACCAGUGAUAUUAAGAUACUGAAGUUUGCAGAAUACCUAAGGAAAGAGGAAGUAUAUGGAUUGCCUGGAUCUGAACUGACUGAUCACCACGGAUCGGCAUUGAAGGAAAAUGAGACAGAGCCAGGUGCUGGACCCUUGGAGCUUAUUGUUGAACUUGGAGUUGUUGGAAUAUCUUUGAUUGAUCAUAAGCCAAGAGAGCUUUUAUACUUGCAUCUGCAGAAGGUUUUCGUUUCAUACAUGACUGGUUAUGAUUCUGGGACCACUAGCAGGUAUGUAUUUUUUUUCAUCAACAUCAUCUCCAGACAUGUGCUGGUCUAUUUUUUUUUUCUUCCAUAUGCAAAAGAAAUGCCUUCCAUCAUUGGGAGGAACUGGGAACUUUGAGAUACACUUAGUUCUUCACCAUGUUUUUUUUGCGUUGCACUCAAUCCAUCCCAAAUUACAAGACGUUUGACUUUUUUAACAUCAAGUUUGACCACUUGUCUUAUUCAAAAAGUUGUGUAAAAUAUCACUUCUUUUGUUGUAGCUUGGUUUAUUAAUAAAAUUUUUUCAAGAAUGACUUAAAUUUGACUAUGUUUGCAUAAAUUUUUUGAAUAAGACGAGUGGUCAAACCUGGGCUAAAAAAAGUCAACCGUCUUAUAACUCGGGAUGGAGUAUAAGUUUAUACUCAUUUUUUAAGCCAUUCUUUUGCCCCAAGAAAGGUCAGCUGCUUGGUUUGGCAAAGGACUGCUCCUUCCCAUUUAUUACUAACAUCUUUGGCUGAAUAGUUAGAUGGCAUACCUACGAACAUAGCAUCAGUUUGUCCUAAUGAUAGCACUAUGUUCUUUGCUUUACCUUUUUUUAUACAUAUAACACUUUUCAGGUUUAAAUUAAUUCUUGGCCAGUUGCAACUAGAUAAUCAGUUGCCACUGUCUACAAUGCCUGUUGUUUUAGCUACCGAGAGCAGGCCUGAUUCAAAUCGUCCUGUUUUCAAAGCAAACGUUGCUGUUAGCAAUGUAACUUCUAAUGGCAUUCAAGUUUACCCACAUGUCUAUAUCCGGGUAAUGUUGUUGCUUUGUGUAUUUCAACAUGCAAGUCUAUAUAGUAUCAACCCAUACUUAAAAGAAAUGAAAUCUGUGUUUUAUAUAGGUAACCGAUCAAACAUGGAGACUGAACAUUCAUGAACCUAUUAUUUGGGCACUGGUUGACUUCUACAACAAUCUUCGUUUUGUCACCACCAGCAACAACACAACUGUAACGGAAGUGGAUCCUGAGAUACGAAUAGAGUAAGCUUCAAAUUUACCUCGAAAUUGCCAGAGCAACUAUUAGACUUCCCUAAUUUUGGGACUCUUUUUGCAUCUGAAAUUGUUGUGUUUCCAAUUUGAUGCAUCCUGUCAUUCAUCAGUAACCAGGGCUAUGAUUAGCACUACAGAGAUGAGAGAUGGGCAGGUGUUUCCAUGCAACCAUUUUGUAUUCUUUCACAUUCCAUUUGGUUUGAUAGUUCAUUGUUCAAUUGGUUUGAUGUAUAAGUCUUCUGCAAUGAUAUAAUUCUAUCAGAACUAGCAUCAUACUUUAUGCUGGACUUGUAGGACAAGGAAAUAUGAGUUUGUGUUAGUAAGUCCAUUGGUCCCAUUAUUUUAUUUUUGUUUCUCUGAAUACAACGUGUUCUGGAAACUUGUUCUUUGUUGGCCUAUUGCUACCUAUGAUUAACGGUGUCACUGUAGUUUGUGCAUUCAUUUUGCUUUUACAAAUUGUAGCCAGUACAUUGCAGAAGUACCAUGAGAACAUGUUGCUGACAAUGUGUUUUUUCAAUGUUGUGGAAUUUUUUUAGUAAAUUCAUGUGAUUAUUUUGCAUAAUCAUUGAUAUAUACCACCUUUGUGUCUAGAUGUAACUUAGCUGGAAUACGACAGAACAUAUUUCAUGAAUAAUUGUAUAAUUUGCAGGCUCAUUGAUAUUUCAGAGAUAAGGCUGAAAAUAUCUCUGGAAACUGCGCCUAAUCAAAGACCUCGUGGUGUCCUAGGCAUAUGGAGCCCCGUCCUAUCUGCUGUGGGUAAUGCAUUCAAGAUUCAGGUAACUUAUUCCAAAAUCAGGUUAUUUACGGAACAUCAUGUUUCAUGGACGGUUGGACGAUACCAGACUAACCCAGUUAAAUUUAAUCAGAUUUAUGCCAUUUUCAUCAGAAUCCAAGAAAUUUGAUUUAACUCUGAACCUAUCAAAUUAUGCUAAAAUAUGUUACGUUAUCCCAAACCCCCCCCCCCCCCCAACCCCCUGGCUAAGUUCAGAAUUCUAUGAACCUAGAAUAGGUUCAUUGUUAUCUUCUGUAUCCUUGUUUGUUUUAAGUUAGUGUGUGUGUGGAGCCUGAGUUAGAGAUCUGGUUGUAUGCGGCCUAAGAACUGAGUUCCAUUAUGGUAUUUGGACAAGGUACAAUGUAUGCAGCAUUAAUUCAAGUGGAAUUCCUGAAAAGAAUGUCUAACUAGUGCACUGCCCUAAAUACCAAUGAUACUCAAAGGCAAGGUUUUAAAUGGCAGGCUAUGCUAUUUAGCGGCAGCCUCCCCCAGGAGCUAUAAAAUGCUAUAUUGGUUUCUAUCGAAAGCUUCAUUUAGCGGUUUUAUAGAAAAUUUGAAAAUUCUUAAUUAAUUAUGCAGAAAACAUGUAACUAAGGAAAUUUCAUGAACACAUAUGCUCAAAUACAUCUCCAAAACUUAAAAAAACCUCGAUCUGCAGGGGAUAAGACAGUCCCCGGACAUUUUUCUUAAGAAGGCCUUCUCAUGCAGGUCGAGAGAACUUGACAUACAUUGGAAUCUUGGUGCAGAUUUCUUUCAAAUGAUAACCCAGGCUAAGCAGCAGUUCUCGAGCACUUUCUUCAUGGAAAUCUUCAUCAUUGGAGCCUGGCAGAUAUGGAAACAAAGAAACAAUUUUAUCUUUGACCGAGGACGUCCCUCCCUUGUCUCUUGGAAACAAAAUAUUUUGGAGGAAGCUAGAUUGCAGGCCCAUAGACUUUGUGAUUCAAAAACAGCAACCUUUCUGUCCUCUUUAGGACUCCAAGGCUGACUCCCUCCUGCUGUUCUCUUCUUUCCCUCUCUUUCUGUACAGUUAUACAGCCUAUAGUGUCAAGUGCCUUGGCACCUAACGACGCAGGACCGUGACUCCGUAACUCGUAGUUGCGCUCCAGUCCUCACCGCGAGGUUUUGCCCCUCUGCUGGUGGCUUACGGGAAUAGAUGAAGAUAGAUUGAUAAUUGUUCUUGCUUGAUUAUAUCAAUAGAGUCUACAGAUAUUUAUGUCCCUCACCUCUUUUGCUAAAUAACCUAUUUGGGACUAAUAUAAAUUGCAAAUACAAAGAUAACUAAACUUAUAAAGAUAACUAGGCCAAACUAUCAGCCCGCCGGCCAUAACAAUUUAGCCACUAGUCGGUUGGGCAUCCUCCUCCCGCGCCAGAUGGGCCCUGGCCGCGGCUCGCUCAGCUGCCCUGCGCACAUCGCGGGCGCGCCGCCUUCUGGUGUAGGGAAUGCCACACAUGACAUCUCUCCCCUCCUCGAGGUCCAGCUCGUCCUCGAGCUGAAAGUCUGGAAACUGCUCACGGAACGCGUCGACGUCUUCCCAUGUGGCCGACUCUGGAGGUUCGCCGCGCCAGUGGACAAGCAGCUGGCGAACGCCAUGCGCCAAGCGAGUACACUCGACCCAGGCCGGCUCUGGAGCCACCAUGCCAUGGUGGAUGUGUGGCAGUACCAGCGGAGCUGCUGGAGGGGCGCCUGCGAACUUCUUGAGGGCACCUUGUUGGAAUAUAAGUGAAUUGCCCACCUCUCUCCAUCAGCUUAAGCUUUUGGGUUGAACUGGUUGGUGCAUGCAACUCAAAUGGUAUCAAAGCUAGAGGUCUCGAGUUCGAAUCCUGGUUAGCGCAAUUAAAUAAAAUAAUUGCUGCUCGCUCCUAUUCCACGUCUGAGGCCUGAGGGAGCCUCCACGUGAGGGGGAGUGUUGGAAUAUAAGUGAAUUGCCCACCUCUCUCCAUCAGCUUAAGCUUUUAGGUUGAACUGGUUGGUGUAUGCAACUCAAUACACCCACAUGGAACACAUCAUGGAUGCGGGCCUGCGGGGGAAGCUUCAAGCGCACAGCAACGUCGUUGAUGAGCUCACUGACGCGGUAUGGCACCUGAGGGCACAGGUUUACAGCCAACCAAACAGAUAACCAAAACAAAAUACGGUUUAGACUAAACAUGGGCCCGUUCGCCAUGUGCAGGAUUCUAGAGCAUGUCUGCAUGCAUUCACAGCCAUUCUAUCAAUCAACAUACUCGUGGCUAAUAACCAACAUUAAUAUUCAUUCAACAUUCAACUUUGACAACUCAAUAAUUAUUCAAUAGUUCAUUACCUCAUUAUUAAUUAAAAAACACAUAGUGUGUUAUAGUCAUCUAGAGUAAAGAAUGAAUACCUUAGCGGUAAAACAACUCUUGGUUGGCUAUGUUAGUUUUCAUUGGACCUAGAGAAGUCACCCUGGUGCUAAUAACAGAGGCAAUUCUGCAUUGGUUGGAGUGCUUAAUGAUAGUUGCUAAAUGAGAAUAAGUUUGUUCUUUCUUUGCAUGUCUUCCUGAAAUUUCAAUUCUCAGAAGUUACCAUCAUUUAUUUCAUAUUGCGAUAAAAACUCUUGGGUAGCUUUAUUGUUAUUUUUUUAUAGGAGAUAUAUACUCAGAUCCAUGAACUGUAGUUCGUAGUUUCAUCCCUGAUAUUUUUCCUUAGGUGCAUCUGCGGAAGGUCAUGCACAGAAGCCGUUUUAUGCGAAAGAGCUCCAUCAUCCCUGCUAUCAUGAACCGAAUCAAGAGAGAUCUGAUUCACAAUCCACUGCAUCUAAUCUUCUCUGUGGAUUUUCUUGGAGUGACAAAAUCAACUUUAUCAUCACUUAGUAAAGGAUUUGCAGAGCUCUCUACUGAUGGGCAAUUUCUUCAGCUGAGAUCAAAGCAGGUGCAAUAGCUUGUGGUUUUUUGUCCUUGUUUAUGUUCACUUCUUUAAACACUUACAUGGAAUGUGAUUCAGGUUUGGUCAAGGAGAAUCACUGGUCUUGGUGAUGGGCUAGUUCAAGGGACUGAAGCAUUUGCUCAGGGUUUGGCUUUUGGGGUUUCUGGUGUUUUAAGAAAGCCAGUUGAGAGUGCCAGACAGUAUGGUGUUGUAGGCAUUGCACCUGGUAUUGGCCGUGCUUUUGUGGGUUUCAUUGUACAACCUUUAAGUGGGGCUCUGGAUUUUUUUUCACUGACGGUUGAUGGAAUUAGUGCGAGUUUUAUGAGAUGUGUCAACAUUUUAAGUAACAAAUCUGUUCCGCAGAGGAUAAGAGAUCCUCGCGCUAUCCAUCAAGAUGUUAUAGUAAGAGACUAUGACAAAGUUGAAGCUGCUGGACAGGUUACAUUGCUUGUUUUCAUAUUGUUUGUUUCUUUUCCUUUUUGCUUUUUGAUGGAAAAAUAACUGUACAAACAGAUUCAUGAUUCCCGGAGUGUAGGUCUCCAGUCUAAUCUCUAUUAAGAAACUCAAAACAAAGUAGUAAUAUAUUGUGAGAAGAGUAAGUUAAAUCUAGUGGAUGAGAUGAAGCAUCCUUGUGAAAUUUCAUACAUGUCAGGAGUUAGGUUCAUCACAGUCAAGCCAGCAUAUCACCCUUAAGCAGUAGCCAACAUCAACAAGCUUGAGACUCACUCCACUAGAUUUACUAGUAAAUCCUAUCUUCAGUCGAAGUUUCCAUACAUGCAGCUGUAUUACGCACAUCACAUGAAUGCUUAUUUACCCAGUAGCAAAUAAUUUGGGCACUUGUUCUAUUUGUUGGUUUUUGAGCACAAAGGAAACAUGGCCACUAUUACGGAAUGGAGGGAGGACACUGAAACGUAUGCUUACAUGCCUUCAAAAUUAUGCUAAAGACUUGAAACGAUCAAAUUAUAGUUUUUGGUUGCUACGUGAGCAGUUGUAAUCAUAUAAUACGUAGUGAUGUACUACAGAUUCAAUCCAGCUUUGUUUUAAUUAGACAAAAGGUUCACCCUUGCUAGAUUGAUCAAACACAGGAUGUUUCCAAAGCAAAAAAAAAUAGUAGAUAGUUGUCACGUUAGUACAGUUCUAGUCAGAUUUUUGGCAUGAUGUACACUUAUUUGAUUACUCUGUUCUGCAGAUGGCCCUUUACCUGGCAGAAGCCAGCAGAUAUUUUGCAUGCACAGAUUUAUUCCGGGAACCUUCGAAGUACGCAUGGUCUGAUUACUAUGAAGACCAUUUUAUUUUACCAAACCAUAGGAUUGCUUUAGUCACUAAUAAGCGGGUGAUGCUGCUUCAGGUAAGGCUUAUUCCUUUCUGAUCGUAUUAUUGUGUUACUUCAGAAGUUUGAUUAGAACUGAUUGUCUUCUUUUGUAGUGCCUGGAUCUAGAUAAAAUGGACAAGAAACCUUCCAAAAUACUUUGGGAUGUUCCUUGGGAAGAAGUACUUGCAUUGGAGCUAGCAAAAGCUGGGUAUCAGAGGCCUUCACAUGUAAUUAUACAUCUGAAGAAUUUUAGGAGGUCAGAGAACUUUGUAAGGCUUAUUAAGUGUAACAUUGAUGACGAACAGCAACCUCAGGCUCUUUCACUUUGCUCUUCAAUUCGGAAAAUGUGGAGAUCUCACCAGGCAGCAAUGAAAGUUAUACCAUUGAAGGUAAUCGCUCCUGUUCUCCUUAAGCUUCUUUUUUUUUCUUUUUUUUUCUUUUUUUUUUUUGUAACCAACUCUCCUGAACUAAACUUGUACUUCUGAACAAAACCAUAAUAGGUUCCAUCAGGCCAGCACCAUGUGUAUUUUGCAUCAGAUGAUGAUAAUAGGGAAUCCCACAGUCUAUGUAGGCCUUUGCUAAGCUCGAGAGGAACAUCUACUGAUGUUGAGCAACAACUCAUAAACAAUACAGUUAACUUCCAGAAAAUGUGGAGCAGUGAACCAGAAAUUCAGAGCCGAUGUAAACUAGUUGCCAAACAGGUAAGUCAGCAGAAUCUGAGUGGCUAAAAAGAAGGUAUUUCAGAUGUGUGAUGUAAAAUUAUUGUUGGUGUUUAUUUUAGAUUGCGGACGACGGAAGGGUGUUUAGCAUAUGGAGGCCUCUGUGCCCUAAUGGGUAUGAAUUUUGACAUGGUAUAACCCACUAAUGUAACUGCUUACAUACCGAAGGUACUGAGCCAAUUAUUUCAGGUACAUCUCAAUUGGUGAUGUUGCUCAUGUUGGCACCCAUCCACCACAUUUUGCUGCUGUAUACAAGAACAUCAAUGGGAACUUUGCACUGCCGGUUGGCUAUGACCUGGUCAGUUUUCAAUGAGAUUUUGUGUCAUAUAUGCUUGGCCAGUGUUGAGCUUAUUAUACUGAAAUAAUAUAAUCCUCUGUUACUUUUAUCGUGCAUAAACAGUGACUUUUUUUUAUUUUGGAACACUGUAUGAGGGGGGCAGUCUUGUUGAUAGAUUUUGCUUUCAUGAUUGCCUUGCCUGCAGGUUUGGAGAAACUGUGCUGAGGAUUACAGGAACCCUGUGUCAAUAUGGUUUCCAAGGCCACCGGGGGGAUACGUAUCUCUUGGGUGUGUUGCUGUCCCUUCAUUCGAGGAGCCCCCUCUUGACUGUGCUUUCUGUGUGGAUGAGAGACUCACGGAGGAUGCGGAGUAUGAGGAGCAAAUCGUAUGGGCAUCAUCUGAUGCUUACCCAUGGGGAUGCUAUAUCUACCAAGUUCAGAGCGCCUCACUGCAUUUCAUGGCACUUCGUGUCCCAAAAGAAAAAUCUGAGCAAAGGCCCAAGAAGAUGUUGGAGUCAUUAUUUGUGCAGCGAGCAUCAGAGACUCCAUGUCAAGACAAGCAAACGUGCCGUGCAUGAAGAAGGUGUACAUAAUACAUAUACGUGCGUGGAAGAAACUCGACUGGGACAAAGGACUGAGAGUCUCGUGCAAGAAAGCUCGAAGAAAGCCGCUGCUUUCGGACCACUGCAUUUCUCCGUGGUCAAAGCAUACACAGAGCCUUGCAUCCCAACACUUUAGUUGGCAGCAAGUUUUGUAAACUAGAGUAGUAGGUUGAAAGUUGUAAAUAUAAAAUAUUGUAACGUUUGGUAUAGUUUUUGUCCAGCAUUACAUGAUAAUAGAAAUGUUCGGAUGGAUAAUUAUCACGCAUUGUGUCUGUGAUUUGCGCUCUUAAAAUGUUACUCUCUUAAUUUCAAUUUGUAAAUUAUUUUGAUUUUUAUUUUGUUAUGUAUCUAGAUAUGAUGUACUAUGUCUAAAUAUAUAGCAAAAUCUAUAUAUAAAAAAACAAAUGACUUAUAGUUUAGAAGAGAUGGACUAUAUGGCAAAAUUUAUAUAUAAAAAAAAUAAAAUUUAUAUAUAAAAAAAUUAAAACAACUUAUAAUUUAGAAUGAGACAAUACUUCAUCCUAUAUAUUCGACAUGUAACGUGUUAUUUAUUAUUCUCUCCAUUUUCAAAUUCAAAUUGUAAGUCAAUCUUGAAAAGUCAAAACACCUCAAGUUUAACCAAAAUUAGAAAAAAUUAAAAAGAUUUAUAACAUUAAAUAGAUAUACUAUAAAAAUAUAAUUAAUAAAGAAUCUAAUAAUAAUCCGAUAUCAUAAAUAUUAUUAUUUUAUUAUAUAGAUUUGGUUAAACUUGAAACCCUUUGACUCUCUUGAAAUGACUUAUAAUUUAGGGGAUGGAGAGAGUAUUCUCCUGUCAACAUAGAGGAGAAUCUUACACCUUGUUUGUUAUUUGUUUGAACUUAUCAGUUGAAUCUGUGUUUUUUUUUUAUAAUAAAUUAGCCAACACUGCUUUCUGUCAUGGCUUAUCAGCCAAACAAACAUAUAAUCUUCAGCUUCUCUCUUACCGCUGGCUCGAAGAUUGUUAACCCCGUUUUCUUACCCAUGGAGUAAAAUUAAAUCCCUUGCAAAUUUAUUGGUUGUCUAAAAGCUUUUUGUAACAUGCCGGGUUGCCGGCGGAAGUACCCGCACACAUCCUGGAAGAGGAAGCACUGCUACUGCGUGUGCACCCUCACCUCACUGUCGCGCCCACCGUCACGAAUCCAGGGCAAACUCCCGGUGGAGCAAGAUUUUUUAACAGGAACUUGCUGGAGAUAAGCACGCGGCACGUAGGGCGCCCGAUUGACGUGCCACAUCACGUAAGGCGCUCCCGUCCCGUGCCUCCGUUUCGGAUGAGAUCUGGCGAUGGAUCGUCCGUCUGUCAUCUCGCAUGCAUGCACGCAGGAACGUCGAACGCACGCGCACCUCUGAAUUGAAGCGCAGGUCCGGCACGCAACGCCGCUGUGUGGACCGACGGGGACGGGGACACGGCCGGUGGUUGUGGUCCACGGCGAGGCGGACACCCGAGGGAGACACAAGACCGUGACGCGGACACGAUCCGAUGGGGACUUGAAAAGCAGACUGCCGCUCGUGCCUGAAUUCUCAUCGAGCGAAGAAAAUAUCAGGUACUGGAGAGAUAUUUCAGCGGAAGCGCAAAUUGACUGAAAUUGUUAGCUACCCACAGUUUCAAAUGCCCGUGUAUUUCUUCUUCUUUUUUAGUGGAGGGAGUUACUAGUUUCCUUUGUUCCAAGAGGAAAGCUAGCUUGUCAAAGGGGCCGUGACCAAGCAGCAUGCCAGUGGUGACAUCAGCAGCAAGCAGCAGCCAAGCACUUGGGACCAUGGCCAGGCUUCUCAAAAAAAAGUCACAAGCACUUUAGAUGAUGAAGCGGACGCAACAGAGGAGAAUAGUCGGUGUGUGGAGGUGGAACCAUAGCCACAAGCGCGGCCCGGCCGAAGGGGCCCAAAAGGUCACCGGCGCCGGUGGCCCGCCGGGGGCCAAAUUUAACCUGGCAACGCGAAAAAAGCGCAAAAGAAACAAAAAACCAGCGAAAGCAGCGGGUCGGUCCCGCGCACCCGGCGGCGGUCGGUCCGGUGAACAUGGGGUGGAGAUGCAGCGGCGACGGGGCCGCGCGGAUAAGGCGGCCAUGCGAGCCACGCGUUUGCUCUUGGUGCCCGCGCCUGGCCGUGUCACCACCAGCUCAUCGCCUACGCAGCAGGCAGCACCAGGACCCGCCUCGGGAUCCGGCUCGCCAGUCACCAAACUGCUCCAGUACUGUAGGAUUUGUCGCGUGACCAUAGUCCGUGUAGGAUUUGUCGGUUGGUUUGUUCAUGCAUGGUCAUGUUCACGGCCUGAUUAGAUUAGAGAUAAAAAAAUUUUGGAUGUCACAUUGGAUGUGUCGGAAGGAUGUCGAUAGAGGUUUUUAGAAACUAAUAAAAAAAUAAAUUACAUAGCUCGUCAGAAAACUAUAAGACAAAUUUAUUAAGCAUAAUUAAUCUGUUAUUAGCAUAUGUGAGUUACUGUAGCACUUAAGCCUAAUCAUGGAGUAACUAGACUUAAAAGAUUCGUCUCGCGAUUCUCAACUAAACUGUGUAAUUAGUUUAUUUUUUUAUCUACAUUUAAUGUUCCAUGUAUGUGUCCAAAGAUUCGAUGGGAUGGAUGAAAAAUUUUUAGAUGGGGGACUAAACAGGGCCUCAACGUUAACAACCAUUUCUGCAGUAGUAGUAUUUACUUCGAUUAUCUACUCUUUUUAUACUAUUAAUUGAUCAGUUGAUCAAGUUGACCGGUGCCAGGCAUCGCGGAUCCGAUUGGAUUGGAUCUUGGAAGGAGAGCGUGGGAGACGGUUGUGACGACUUGCCCUUGAUCUACCGACGGAUGUGAUCUUGGCACCUACUUUUUCUUCUAUCUAUUUUUCCUUGUUGAUGAGUUCAUGUCAAAACAUGAAAUAACUUACGAGAAAUGAGGUCUAUAAAUGUGACCUAGGCCAAAAAAAAUCUAGUUGGAACACUAGCCACAAGAUAGAUCAGAAGUGAAAAAACCACACAAAAGCAAAAAAAAAUGCUAUCUCAGAAGUUAUGGUAAAGCAAAGAGCACAAAUUAUAUAAUUACUUUUAUUUUCUUUUUUUCCAACUCCAACACAAAUACUGCUAAUCGGCCUUGGCUUCAUCUAAAUACAGGGGCGGAGCCAUAGCUGCCCUAAAUAUAGAUUUCCAGAUGGCACGCGGCCCGUUGGCACGGCCCAAGGCACGAAGAUUUGGCCCGGCACGGGCACGGCCCGGCCCGGUGAUCGACGGGCCCGUGCCGGCACGGCCCAAGGCAGUGGGACGUGCCUGGGCCGCCACCUCGGCCCAAGGCACGGCACGGGCACGGCCCGAAUCAAGCAGUGGCACGAUGGCGGCCCGAUGACCCCCAACGGCUAUUUCAGCCCACCAGAGGUCCAGCACUCCAGCCCACCAGGCCACCACCCCGCCCCGCCCGCUUGCAUAUAUAAGCGCUCACCCAGGGGUGGAGCUCAACCCUAACCCUAAUUUCCCAUUCCCCAUCCCCACAGCGCCGCAGCCGCUCUCUUCGUCCCAUCGAUCGACUCAUUCGCUCUGCUCCGGCCUCCGCUCCGUCUUCCUCGAUCUCCCUCUUCCGACCGCCGACCGCCGGCCAGGGCCACCACUAGCCUUGUCGCAGAUCCCGCUUGGCUCCACGACGCCGCUCGCCGCUUGCCUGAGUUGCCUUACCCUCUCACUCUCCUCCCUCCUUUCCCCUCUCCACUCCUCUAUCUCCUCUGGUGAAGCAUGUGAGUUCAUCUUCCUCACUCAGCCGCUGCUCGCUGUUGUCUCUAAUGGAUGUCUAUCUCUGUCUCGUGUCUCAUCUUGACUCGUCGACCGCUUGUCCUCCGGCACCGGGCUCCGGUAACGCAGGUGCACUGUCUAAACCCUAGAUCUGCUCUGCUGUCUUACUCUCUCAAUCUCUCAGUCUCGGUUCUCAUCUUUAUUUGUUCUUUCUUCUUUGUCUUUGCAGGUUCGUGCCUGACGCCGCGUCCUCCUCCUCUGGAGUAGUGGACAUGGCCAGGCCGCCAAAGCGCCCGUCGAGGGGCGGUGCUGGAGGUCUGGUGGGUCCAGGUCAUGCUCAGCCAUCGAAGUCCAGUGCUGGUGCAGGGCUCGCAACGCGAGGGGCGGAUCUGCAUCCCCCCCUCGACGACGGCGAGGACCUAGCGCCGCAUCCGGACGAGGUCGAGGAUAUGGAAGCCGAACUCGAGAACGAUGACGACUUGCGUGAAGACGCUCGUGAGUUCUUCGGCAUCGACCUCGGUGACCAACAACCGCCCAUCAUCAACCUCGAUGGGGAUGGGGACGACGACGGUGGCGUGGCUGCUUCAACUGACACUCGUGGUACUUCAACCACGGGCACUGGUAAGCGCAAGUCUAUUGUGUGGACUUACUUUGAUGAGAUCAAGGAUGAGAAUGGGCUACGAUCCUGGUGCCGUAUGCAAACACUGUCGUUCUCGGUAUUCUGCUAGAUCCACGGGGGGCACUGGGCAUUUCAGGCGGCACAUGAGAACCUGCAUGAAAAAAUAAAAACAUGCAACUAUGGUUCAAUCUAAACUUGCACUUAACGCUGAUGGCUUGAAAAACUGGGUGUAUGAUCCUGUUGUUGCUCGCACUGAGUUGUGUAGGCUGAUAGUUAAGUUAGACCUUCCCUUAGGCAUUGGUGAUACUCAGGCCUGGGAAGAUUAUAUCAAGCGUGCUCAUAACCCUUUGUUCGAGCGGGUCUCUAGGCAGUCCACAACUAGGGAUCUUGGCAAGUUGUUUGCUGAUGAACGGUCUUUGCUUAUGAAUUCUUUGUUGCCUACUUGUUCAUCUGUGUCUAUCACAUCUGACAUUUGGUCUGGUAAUGCUAAAGAAGAUUACAUAUCUGUUAUUGCUCAUUAUGUUUCUGCUGAUUGGGAGUUGCAGAAGAAGGUUAUUGGGUUUAGGCUGAUUGAAGUGAAACAUACUAGUGAAAACAUAGCUGAUAGAAUAUGUUCUAUGCUUGAAGAGUUUAAUUUGAUGGAUAAGACCUUUGCUAUAACUCUUGAUAAUGCCUCUGCUAAUACUAGGGCUUUUGAGAUUUUGCAACCUUGCUUGUUUGGUUACAUGGGUUCUUAUCCUGCACCUACACGUGAAGAACCUCAUAAAGUUAACUAUUUGUUUGUGCAUCAGCGUUGUACUUGUCAUAUUAUUAAUCUGAUUGUUAAGACUGGUUUGAAGAGGACUAAUCCUUAUCUUGAAGCAUUUAGAACUGCAAUAAACUUCUUGAAUUCCUCUAAUCAGAGAAUUGCACUGUUCAAAAGCUAUUGCAUUUCUAAAGGCUUAAGACCUAGAAAGUUUGGCUUGGAUAUGGAUGUUAGGUGGAAUUCCACCUAUCUAAUGCUUAAGCAUUUGGUGCCUUACAAGGAAGUCUUUUCUGUGUGGAUCACCACUAAUCAUGGUGAGAACUUGUUGACUAGAGAUCAUUGGAUUGUUGCUGAACACAUGUUGAAAUUCCUGGAAGUGUUUUAUGAUGCCACUCUUGUUCUGUCUAGUGUUUAUUAUCCAACUGCUCCACUUGUUUUGCAUCAUCUUCUUCACAUUGCUGAGCACUUGCAUGAGGCUGAGAAUGAUGCAAAUUUCAGAAAUAUUGCUUCUCCUAUGAAGCUUAAAUUUCUGAAAUAUUGGGAGAAAAUUCCAUUGAUCUAUUCAUAUGCAUUCAUCCUUGAUCCUAGAGGUAAAUGGAAGGGCUUUGUUAAUGUGCUUGGCUUGCUCGCUGAGAGUACUGGUGUCUCUUAUACUCUGUACUGUGGUGAUGUUAAAGAUGAGAUGUCCAGGCUAUUUGGCAAGUAUGAGGAGAAAUUUGGUGGUGCAAGUAGGUCUCAAAGGGUUGCAAUGCCCUCAGCCUGUCCUGGUAAGAAUAAGCAGGUAUGGGGAAGGAUCUAUGGAGGUCCUGGUGCAUCCCCUAGCCUUUCCCCCUCAUGUUCAUCUAGUCCAUCUGCUGCUAGUGAGCUCCAAGCUUACUUGGACAGUGACCCAGUCACUGAUUGGGAUGAGUCAUUUGACAUACUGCUAUGGUGGCGUGACCACAAGCUAACCUAUCCAAUUCUAUCUAUUAUGGCUCGCGAUGUUAUGUCUGUUCCUGUCUCUACUGUCUCUUCGGAGUCUUGUUUCAGCUGUACCUCCAGGAUUCUAGAAGACCAGUGGCGGAGAUUGUUGCCUGAGCAUGUGGAGAUGCUCACCUGCAUCAAGGAUUGGGAGCAAGGAGCAGCAAGAGAACAACAUAAAGCUUAAGACUUUGACCUGGAGGACAAGUUCAAGAACCUCGACCUGGAUGAAGUAGGUGAAGGGAGCGGCAGCAGCACCGGCAGUGGUGGUACUACUGCUGAUACUAAUGCUGGUACUUGAUGGGAGAAAGAAGGAAACUGCCCAGGUAAUGAACUUGUCUUAAAACUCAAAUCAUCACUCAAUUCUGUAUAACAUUUCUUGAUAAUGGAUUCUACACUUUGCAGGCACAUUUUGGUGUCUUGGUGCAAGAAGUCUUUUGGUGCAUCUUGGUGCAAGAAGUCUUUUGGUGCAUGUCUUUUGGUGCAAGUGCAAGAUGUCUGGUGCAAGGACUCUGUAAUAGGAUAGAACUUUCAUAUUUGCCUUGCCACUGAUGCAUUGCCACUGAUGCUGGCUAUUGUAAAUUUGUAAUAGGAUAGUUGAACUAAGACUUUGAACAUUUGAGCUGGCUACACUCUUUUUUCCUUUCUAGGGUUUCUCACAAGGGUGAGUUUUACCUAGAAAGGUUUUUAAUGAGGCAGCAUUGCACAAAACAGCUCCUUUUGAUAAUAUAUUCAUACUAUCUUAUGCUGCCUGAAUUGUGUCUAUAUUGUGCUACCUGAAUUGGCUAAGUUCUGAAUUUGUGUUAGUGUUUGCACUUGUGCUCAACCCUCUCACUUGAACGGGCCACGGGCCAGCCCGGCACGGCAAAAUUGGCCGUGCCCAACGGGCGGCACGGCACGGCCAAAUGGCCCACGGACUGUGCCUUGGGCCGUAGGCCAGGCACGAGCACGAAGGAGGCACGGCCCGUGCGGCACGACGGCCCGCUGAGGCACGACACCGGCACGGGCCAGCACGGCCCGAUGGCCAUCUAUAGCCCUAAACAUCAAGCCAUGGCUAUGGCUAUGUCUGGCAUUAGCAAUGAAGGGUUCCGAUUUGAAGUUGCACACUAUAGCAACCCCACCCCCUUGGGGUUUGUUUCACUGUUGGCGACCGCUCGACCAAGGUGAGAUUUGACGGCGAGUAUAUAAGAGAUGGCUGAUGGGGCAAUUGGUGAGCAUUAAGUUUGCUCCUACUUUGUGUUAGGUGUUCUUUCUUUUAGCCUGGCCCACAACAUAUAAUAAAAAAAAUAUAGAACAGCCCAAUGCGAGAUUCUUGACAAGCCCUUUUCUUCUCUGGUCUCACAUAAAAUAUGUUUGGUGUUGCGACUCUACGAAUACACAAGUUUAUUCCGGUCACCAAGAUGAGGGGAAAAAAAAAGGUGUUCUACUAAGGCUUUAUCGGCAUAGCUGAGGUGAAUGCUCACAUCACCUACAAAGUGGAUCCGCCGUUGAGUGCAACUAAUUUUUUUUUUAGAAAAAGGAAUCUCUAUUUCGGUCUCUACAAGAGUUUUGCACACAAACCAUUCAUUAUUACAAAGUUCAAACUCUAACAAAAAAAAAGGAGCUCUGAAAAAGCAAGCGAAGCAAAGGAUGCAAAAGAGCCAAACGACGAGCUAAGCUCUGAGCCUAUGAAAAGACAGCUAUUCAUUUUUAGCAAAGAUCUUCAUUGUUGUAGUCUCCAAUAGUCGACAUACCAACUUCAAAUGGAUUACUCGUCCUCCUUCUGAAGGGUGGACCAAAGACUUCCAAAAAGGUCACCAUGAAAAUAACUUGUAAAUAAGUGCGUAACAUUUUUCUAUAAAAAAAUACAUCAUUUCUUGUCAAUCAUAUAGACCAAAAUAUUGCACUUGCUCCUACUCGAAGUUUAGUGCAACUAUACUUAUGUUUUUUUGUUGAAACAUUUAUGGUUAUUUAUUAAUGUCGGAUGACAUUUUUAUAUUGGCUCUAAUAAGAAAGUGAGCCUAACAAUUGUUUGGGGUAGGACUUAGGAGGUAACCGUUCAAAUUUGGAUCCUCUUUUAACUCAAAUCCUCUUUGACGUAGCACCUUAAUUACUUACAGCCUGAUACCACCGUGCAUUAACCCAUCUGAUAAAAACAUGGGCAACUGAGCAAAUGUGAGCGAUUGUAACUGUACAGCAGUAGUGACUAGAGAUGAAAACGGUAAGAAUAUUUUCCGACCGUAUUCGAGACUGAAUUCGUUUAGAGAGGUUCAGAUCUGUCCGUAUCCGAGUCCGAAUAUUCAAUAUCCGAUACCGUAUCCGUAUCCGAAUACUUAAAUCGUAUAUUUAUGAUGUCAACAUCCAAUUGUAUUUUAUCUGAUAUGAUUGACAUUAUUCGUAUUCAAAUUCGAAUUCAACCAAAAAUAUAAAAACAAAUAUAAUAUCAGUAAUAUCCAUUUGUAUCCGAUCCGUUUUCAUCCCAUGACAGAUUCGAUAGGACCACAGGGAGAACGGACGGACGAGAUGGUAGCACCUGAGCAGGCCCUGCUGGUAGGGGCGUCUAGGUGCGUCCGCUGUCCGCGUCUAUGCUGACUCAGACUCGCGUUAGGCUGUUGGUCCGCAAACAAAAGGCGCAAGCUUCCAACACCGGCCAUGUACCAAACACCAGCGGUGCGCCGAUAGAGGCCAAGGCUUUGUUUAUUUCUAAAAAAAAUUAAGAUUUCUCAUCAUUACGACACAUAGAUAGAACAUUAAAUAUAAAUAAAAAAUUAUCUAAUUAUAUAAUUUCUCUAUAAUUUAGAAGACAAAUCUUUUAAAUCUAAUUAGUAUAUAAUUAAAUAAUAAUUAUUAAAUAUAAACAAAAAUACUAUAAUAACUAAAUCUAAAAUUUUUCGUAAACUAAACAAUGACUACAACCACAGAACCCAGCUCGCUGGUCGCGCUUGGACCGGACCGCCGGCGGCCUCACGGCCCGUCGGAACCGCGGUUUGAACACGUCAACCCGCGCGCCACGUCGGCCUCCCGCUUCGAGGUCCAGUCCAGGGCAGAUAAUACUUUUCUUAUCCGUUUCCAUGGCCUUGCAUGCUCUCGCAGCCAAGUGUAAGAGAACUGACGUGGCGCGCCUGUCCGUCGACGCGGUGCGCAUCUGACCGACUGACGACCCCGAAUAGGAGUACUCCUAUCUGAUAGCGUCGCGUCGUCGUGUAACUCGUGCUACGCUGAUCACUCACACACACACACUCCUUAAGCCCGCUUUGGCUGGGUGAGUAACAACAACACUGGUUAGCUCAGCUCUUGGACACUCAGUGCCAGUCGGCGUCACACGUCAGCCAUGGCUCGUUGCUUUGUCGCAUUUGUUCUUGUGAACAUGUGGUUGGAUCGCGUUUAUGUCGGACAGGUGUCAGGCAGGGGCAAUUAGCCGCUGCCUGAUGAGACAAAUUAAAUAAAAAUAAUAAUUUGGAUAAGACCACCAGCGGUGCCCAUCAGCCGCAGCAGGCAACGGAACGGACGGCACGGACGGGUAGAUAAAGCUGACGCAAUCAUCAGUCUCCCACUAGGUCGCGUCCACUCGAUUUAGUCCUAAUCCUAGUCGUUAAUUAAUUUGAUUAGGGAUAAGCCGCCCGUGCCAUCCAUGGCCAUCGCCAUCGCCCCCGGCUCCUUCCUCUAUAAAUACAGCUCCCACCGCACGCCGAGACUCUCCUCCCAAUUCCCCUCCCAUUUGCUCAGCCUUCUUCUGCAGACGAGUUUGAAAUUCAUCUUGUUCAAUCAAAUCGUCCUCCUCCUUUCUCUCUCGCCAAGCACAAAGCUUCUCUGCGUUCGUGUUGCAGUUGCAGCCCUGUAUUGUUGAUUGUCUGGUCAGUUCCUCUCCGAUCCAGAGGCAAAGCAAAAGCCGCCAUGGCUCUCACGCUGCGUUCCUCGACGUCGUUCCUGUCGCCCCUGGACCCCACCUCCAAGCUCCUCCACAAGCCCGCCGACGAGGCGCCGCCCUGCUGCGUCGCCAUGCCCCCUGCGCCGCCCAGCCGCAGGCCGCGCGCGCUCAGGGCGUCCGUGGCCGCGGCCGCUGCCGCGGCGCACUCCCCGGCGGCGGCGACGGACCGCGCGCCGGCGGAGGAGCUGCUGCACGGCGGCGGCGGCGCGGGCCAGCAGCACGGGCUGCCGCGCGGCGGGGUGCCGGUGUACGUGAUGCUGCCGCUGGACACGGUGGGGCCCGGCGGCCAGCUGUCGCGGCAGCGCGCCGUGGCGGCCAGUCUCAUGGCGCUGCGGGGCGCCGGGGUGGAGGGCGUCAUGGUGGACGUGUGGUGGGGCGUCGUGGAGCGGGACGGCCCUGGGCGCUACGACUGGGAGGCCUACGCCGAGCUCGUGCGCAUGGUGGAGCGCGCCGGCCUCCGACUCCAGGCCGUCAUGUCCUUCCACCAGUGCGGUGGCAACGUCGGCGACACCUGCAAGUAAGCAUCUCCAUUCCGUACCUUGCUUGCCUGGUUGCCUGGGUUCUGAUAGCUGUAGCAAUCACGCUCAUAAAGCUGCGACGUUGAUUCGUUGCGAGCUGAACUCUUGAUGCUUCAGAGUUCAGAUUUCGUAGUGUGAAAUCUACUGCGACGUUGAAGGUUUUUGAGGAACCAAUUGCUGUUCUUAGCUUCAAAGGUGUAUUAUAAUCUAAAAGCAUAAAGCUCAAACAGGGGGUUACUGGGUUUGGUAGACGGUUACUGUAGUUUCUAGCUUUUCAUUUGUUGGUCCCUUGCACGCAAGGAAUUUGGUAUGUCCCGGUCGGCAAGCAAUCAGAACACUAUAUUACUGUUAGCAAGAGAACAGACACAGAAACGUCCCUAUCACAGGAAUUGAAAGGGGAGUUGUGCCUGAUUAAGUGGUCAUAAUUUGGCAAACCUCUAACCAAGAACACUAAGAUUGUGCAUAUGUUUGUAGUGCUAAACUGCUAACCAACAGAAGCAAAUUGUGCCUGAUUUAUGUUAGUAUAAUUAAUUUUGCAACAGAACAGAUGAAACAAAAACUGAGUAUGCCUAACAAACUUGGAUGAAAAGGGUGAAUGAUUUCUCUGUUGUUGGUACUCUUAAUUGAUUGAUUGAUUGAUUGAUGUUGGUUGCUCUGACGUU
This 78014-nucleotide long non-coding RNA is filed under the name Sorghum bicolor (sorghum). Its description in RNAcentral is "long non-coding RNA (SBIC_LNC001366)". The record is from RNAcentral. Lineage: Eukaryota; Viridiplantae; Streptophyta; Magnoliopsida; Poales; Poaceae.